UUUUUUUUCUGUUAUUUUCAAGUGAAUCAUUUAUCUAGCUUGGGUUCCUCUGAGUUCAAAUUAAUGGUUUAUUUUUAAAUUUAAAUUGAAGUAUACAAUAUGCUUUUAAUUCUACAUGGCAGAGUUUUCUAUAAGCUGGGAAAUGGUUAUCAUCUUUGUAUCCCUGAAAUAUAAGUGAAAGGGUUUGUCUUUGUUUCCAUGCAAGUCAGCAUACUUGCACAAAUACAUGAUUUCUAAGCUUUGGUUAACAAGAGAAAUAAGAAAAUUGAACUGAAAUAGCUUAUUCGGGUGGGGGUUGGGGAAGAAAGCCAAAAUCGUAUAUAAUGAGAAAUAUGCAUCCAGAAACACAGAAGACCUCACAAAUAGAAAACUUGAUUGCGUGCAAGAUCUUUCUCUCCUAGAUAUUUCUUUGCCUUUAUGCUUCACUACCAUCUGUUAAUCAUUUAGUUUUUCUAGAGCCUGUCAUAUUCUAACAUCUCUGUGGCAGUGAUACACAUGACAGAGUGCAGACCAACAAAAUAUUUUAAUUAGCACUUUCCAAAUGUUCCAGCAGUAACCAGGCUGAAUUGGCCUGAUUAGUCACAGCUGAGAAGUGGAAACCUUGUACUUGGGAAUGUGGGCUUCUUUGACAAAGGCAAGAGGGCACAGCUACAGAAACUUGUAAAAUCUCUUGCUGCAGUGGACCAAUGAAAUUUACUCUUCAUUGCAGAAUUUCAGAGACAGAACCACAAGGUCAGUAAUACAUUAAUACCGUGCAAUAUCACUUCUCUCUAUGCAUCAAUCCCCUCAUUUUCACCGCAAAGUCAUAUUUUGCUUUUAGCUAGAGCCUCGUGUAGGGGGCUUGUUUUCUGUUUUUUGUAGCAUUGUGCUCAGUCAGAUUGCACUAUCUACCACUCCUUUGUAUUUAUAACAUAAAUUUAUACAACUGUACUGUAACUUGUCACUUGUUUCCCUUUGAACUUUGUAAUUUGGGAUUUAUAAAAUGUAUCUUGUUCUGGUGAGCCUGUUUUGCAAGGUAGCCAGGCUGUCCAGUAUGAACAUCACCAACUAUAGCCUUCUUAGCAUUUUCAUUUUUGUCAUCACUUGCAGAAUUUAUCUACUGUUUCCUUUUCAAACUUUCUUUGGAAUAACAUUGAAUACAAUUCAGCUUUAAUAUAAGUUUUAAUUAAAUAGUGUUAUCUGUUUGCUGUUUUUUUGUUUGUUACGUUUAAUAAGACCAGCAUGUUCUUCUGCAUACGGGUUGAAUAGCGUUCACCCUUCAUGACCAGCUAUUUAAUUUCUCACUUUUAUCUUCUUCAUUCAGUAUUUGGCCUCAUAUUUUAUUUCAAAUUAUAAGAACAGGCUGGAAUUAUUAAUUUCCUCAUGGACUUCAUUACAGUAGUCAACACAGUGCAUCGUAGUUUUUUUUUCAGUGUUUCUGAGGCAUUUAUUUGGACACCUUUUUUACAAACUUCUCUGAGAUACAUAACGAAUGUUCCCAUUGUACUGAGAAGGAACUUAGAUACUAGGAAACUAGGAAACAGUUUCACAAGAAGCUAAGCUAACAUUCUUUGUGGGUUUUUUGUUCCCCCCAACCUGUUAGACUUCUUUGUGGCUAAAUUCAACUUGUUGAAAACUCUUUUGCUUUUGUCUCCCAUUAUUAACUUAUUGGAGUGGUUUGGAGAGAGCAAAGCCCCUCUGCCUGUCAAGACAAGUGGGCAGUUAGACUUGUUUCCUUGUGUCUCUCAUAACUUCAUAGCAAGGUUAAGCACACUGUGACUGAAGCCAUGUUUAUAAACAUCACUAAGCAGUUGUUUCCAUAAAUGUGUUACCUUUUGAUAAUCAAGGAUGCAUUGUAAGCAUAUGGUGCUGUAUAAACAUCUUGGUAUUUUAAGUAUUUAAGUACCUCACCCCAAAACCCCAAGAGCAGUUUCUAGUACAGGACAGGCACUUAUUAAUGCAAUGUUUGUACUGACAUGAGGCCGAGACAGAACAUGCUUAUUGGUGGAUAAGCACUGUGGCAAACGCAAAACAGACGCAAGUGUUUCUAUACUCUGUGUUUAGUCAUACUUUUUUUUUCUCCACCUGCUGAAGGUGACGAAGAGGUGAAGCUUAGACUUCAGUGACAACAAGAUUUCUUGGGGGGCUGCUUCUGUUCCCAGCUGGGAGAGCAAGUUCAAUUGUCUUCUGUGUGAGACACUUACAUGGCUAAUGAGGUUUUCAGAGCUCCCUAAGGGAAUAUGCUGUGCUGUUGAAAGUGGCAACUGGAAUAGCUUGAUCUUCUGUCUUACAGAAUGUACUAGCUUUUCAUUGUAAGAUCACAAAAUCAGUCAAUGUACUGAAUGACUUCUUUGAGAUAAGUCACAUGUGAAUAUCACAUUUGUGUGAAGAAUGCACAAUAAAUUAUCACUAGUGAAUAGUAGAAUUGCCACCAGUGAAAGGUGAAAUUAGCUUAAUUUUCUUCAUACCACCCUCAAUCUCUUCGGCAAAUACUAGGAUGACAGCUGCUUUUUCAGUACUUUCUUUCAAAAGGGACCAAGUUAUAGGAACUGUUCAUUAAUUAUUUCUGUUUUCCUUGGUCACUUUUAUACUCUCUAACUCUAAAAAGGCACAGAAGCUCUACAGAUAGCUGUUUCUCUCUGCUCCUUACUUAUUCUCUCAAUGUACUUAUCUUACUCUCUGAGUGAGAGAGGGUCCUUUGGAGAAAAAUAGCCUGCAAUUGCAAUGAAAGCUGUAUUUGUUAUUGUCCCUGUUCUGCUGAGGUAGGUAGAUGUUAUCUUGAGUGUUCAGUUUAUUGCAUCUCAUUUUAACACUGUGAAAGAGGAUAGUUUCUAAGGGAGUUGCCAGCCAACCAGAAAAUCUCUUUAUAGGAGAUCCUAGACAAUCCAAUGGAUUUCUAUAUAGUGAAAGUCUGGUUAUUUAUUUCCUACAUGAAUAAAAUCUAAUGCAAGUGAAAAUGUUUUAGAUAAUAUUUGUCAUUUUUUGAGUGGCUGUCAAGUUUAGCUUUGUAUAGAAAAAUGCUUGCUCUGCUUUGAAAAAAGCUGGUGAUAGCUGCAUCCAGAUGGGGAAAAAAUGAACUUUUUAUAUUUGUACAAAUAGUAAAUAUUUUUUUGGCAGCCUCUGUUUCUCAGGUGCUUGGGGGCUCAAAGGAAUCUAGCAAGACUUGCAAGGCAUGUAACAGACAAAUCUAUUUUAACCCAUGGCACAACAUUUGCACAAACUUGACUAUUCUACCCACGUUCUUCCUGCUGUAUCUGUGUUUUUUUUGUUUUUUUUUAGUGUGAGCUUCCCAGCACAGCGAUUGGAAACCCUGCCAGCAUUCCCUCUUGUGUGCCUGAUGUGACUAAGAAAUCACUUUCCUCUAUUAGAUACAGUUUUGACUAGCUGAUGAAGAAAAAUGAAGAAGUUGUUUCUUUUAAGUCCAUUCAUCUUCACUAGUGUUGAAGGAUCCUUUUAACCAGUGCUGUUGGUCAUGCUUUCUAGUAACUAGGGCUCUCAACCAAAAAUGUUGUAUUGGUCAGGUGCAGCAGUUUUAAGAGGACAACAUCAUAUAGAGUAAGAACAGUGUAGAUUAUUCAUUGUCAAAAUUGUGCAAACAAGAUGAAAAUAUUUAUUUGGUACUCAUUGGAGGCAGAAAAAUUGGCUGUUGUGUUCUGAAGGACUGAUUUCCACCCCCCCCCCCGCCCCAAGCCUCCCCUGCAUGUGUUUGGUCAGAGUUUUCACAUAUUCGUUAUCCCUGUGUACUUCCAUACAGUCAGAGAAGUCCCUACUGAGGGCCACUCUGCAAGUACAGUAUGCAUCUUGUCCUUGUCUUUUGGGCCUCCAGGCCUGCUAGUACGUAUGCCAUCUUUGCUUAAUGUGAGGGGGGAAUAUUGCCUCAGACUUUAUUCCCACCAAAACCUGAUAAGCCUCAAUAGAUUCCUGUUCUCCCCAGGGUAAAAGCUGCCCACUGCUUUGUCUGGAGACUUAGCAAAAGAAAGAUAAAUGAAUUACUUGCUUAAGUAAGGGAAAAACAAAAUUUAUUUAUGAGCCUUUUAGUGUUGUGCUUUUGCCUCUUUUCAUUUUGUCUUUCAUUAAGGAGUGGAAAAAUUUGAAACUAAUUACCACCAUGUCAGGUGAAAUAAUUUUACAUUCUCUUUGAAUAUUCUCUGGUAUUACUAAACGUGCACCCCAAAGAAUAGCCUUUUUUAAUGUCUACUUCUUAUAUCUUGUGUUAGUAAUACACUUGCUUCCAUAGCGGAGAACUUUACGCUGUAAAUGGUUGUCUGUGUUAAAGGAGAUCCUGGGCAAUAAUGCCCUUUUUAGUAGUAUGCUAAUUUGACAUAAUUUCUUCAAUUUUUAGGUUUCACUGAUUUUUUUUUUUCUUUUUUCCCCCCACUGCUGUCUAAAGAAAAAUGAGCAUGCCUUUUUUUCUCCUCAGUUUAUAUUAGCAUUAGAAAUGACCUGUAUUCUUUCCAUAGGGUAUGAGCAAGAUUGUUCAAGCUGCAUUUCACAGAAAUGCUUACUUGCCUUCUGCUGCCCUUCUGAAAUAAAAUAGUUAAACUACAAAUAUAAAACCAUAUUGAUGUGCGCAUUUGGUACUUCAAAACUUUCUGUUGAUAUUAAAACAAGAUAAUAAGCAUUGCCACCACUGACUAAAAGAAUAAAGAGUAACUAGGCAUGACAUUCAUGUCUUAUUUCUUGUGUGUAUAAAUUCAUACACAUAUUUUGUGUAUAAAUUCACACGCAAAACACACACACAUGGUAGCUACUUGCUACACUAUGCCCCCAACCUGAUCUACCCUUAUGUAUUCCUCUAGAGUAUGCAAAAGCCUUCAAGUAAUGUGUUACUACUACAAGUCAUAUCUGUCUUAUGUUGUUUAUUCUUCUCAUUUUCACAAAGGAGAUUUGUAGCUGGUUUCAUUUUGAUGUAAGUCCUUUAGAAAAACAAAUACCCUCCUGUGUCUGUCAAGGAAGAUGCAUCAAAGAAAGUGCUUUGCACUUAGAAGAUAGUGAGGUUUGCUAUAGUUUUUAGUUCUUUUCAGUUUUAGUACCAGAAGUUAAAAUCUGCCUUGGAGAGAGGAAGUUCUAAUGUGCAGAAAUGAUUUGGCUCCAUGGUAGGAAAUGUCAUCUCACAUGGGGAAUGUAUAUUUUUUGCAUCAAACCAGGUGAAAUGUACACAGUUUAAAAACAAAACAGAUAAACAAAAGAAAUCAGGUUGUAUUUUAAAUCCUCAGCUUCUUUUUCUGUCUACAGAAGUUAAUAAAUAGGUAGAAAUAAAAAAUCCUAAGUACAGAAUAUACAUUCUAGAAAGCUGAGAAGACAGGAGUGGUAGAAUGCAACUUUUUUUGGAAAAAAAAGAAACGGAAGUCAAAAAUACAGGACCCUUUGUAGGAAGCUUUAUAUGAUCUUUCAGGUUGCACAAAUCAAUCCUUAAAAGGGAGAAUUCUAUAAAGAUUCAUGUUAAGUAAGUAACUGAACUUAAAUUGGUUCAUUUGAUUUGUGUAAAAAUAUUUGUAGAGAUGGGACCUGUGAUAGAGUUGGAAAAGGUGGCAUGUAAAUGUGGAGCAACAAACGUGUGCUUUGGAUUAAGAAUAUUAAUUUUUUGUAUUUCUGCCUAAAUUUAGACCUAUCUAUAAAUUUGGCCUGAUGACUUGAAUUGAGUUUGUUGCUGUAGAUGUGAGGGGUUCUCGAAUGCCGAAAUUAGGCAUGCUGCAAUCAUAUGCAUACACACAGAAAGAGGCUACAUUUUAACUUUUGAAGCACAAUGCAGUAGCUCACAUGCAUGCUUUAACAGUAUUAGGUAAAGAGGAUAUAAGUAAAACUAAGAAUGUAUUUUUGGUGUAUCUGGUGAUUGAAAUGAUGCAUGUGUUUCUUUCUAUUUGGUUUAGUGGGAUUGUGAUGAAGAGGGAGUAUGUAUUUCCAUACACUUAUUGCAUUGUUAGUAUUUUUUUAGUAAGGCACUCAAAGUAUUAUAUAACUAAACAUUGACGUAACUUUAUUGCUGUGAUGAAUAGAGAACUUGUUCUCUGCUAAAGAAUUGUAGUUGUUGCUGCUAAUCUUUAGCUACUCUUUGUUUCUCAAAGCUGCAAAUGCAGGAAACAGUAACUGAGUAAAUUUAAAACUGGAAAAUUAAUCUCUUUUUAACUUCAGUGUUGGCAGUAUAUUUGUAAAUGAAAUUUAUGCUGUACUUACCAUGCUAUUUUCUUUGUCACUCUGUCCUCCCUUGCACCCAUGCCCCUAUCAAAUUCAAGUACCAACAUACUGAUUCUUUGAUUGCUGUACAGUAUAAGGAAUUAACUAUGAAUUAUGAGACAGACUUUUGUGUGAGUCAUUAAAUCACCAGAGUUUGAGUGUUUCUGUACAUUCACCUAGCCUGUAGGCAAUGCAUAACGCUGUGCAAUGUCUGCUGAAUGGGCUGGAUUAAAUCCCUAAAUUCCUUUUAAUUUCAGACUGUUAUUAGGUAUUGUCUCUAGUCAUAGAAACAGGUACGUUUUUGUUCUUGGCUGCAAUUAAAAGGCGUGUGCAUUCUGUUUUUUCUGCUUUGUAUGUAAGCCAACAAAAUAUUAAUAUAUGAAUAUUUUCUAAAAAUGUCUGUUACAAUUAUUCCAAAAGUACCCCUAGCCUUGUGCAUCAAACUUCAGAUAACAUUCUUAACAAUACAGGGCAGAUUAGAAAUGUAGUAAUCAAGCUCUUACGUUUCUUAGUCAGAUAUGUAUACUGGAAAAUAUGGAUCUAAAAGCCUACUUAACUCUAUUUAACCUUCUUUAUGACAUAGGACUUGGACUUUGUUCUAUUAUCUUUAGUGAAGCGCAAGCUGAGAAUUAAACAUUUCUUUGGGUUCCUUUUCAUUGAAAAUUGAUUUCAGUAAGUAUAAUGAGAGGUUUAAUAAGAGGCGAAGUACGGCCUGUUCAGUUGUAAAUGGCAGUCUUUCCAAGUUCAGAAAGGUCUCUUUAACAGAGCUAUCAAUUACUGGCUUUUGGUUUCCAUCUAUUUUCCAUGUCCUUUUAAACGAAUGAUCUGCGUGGAAGCAUUAAUGUUGUUUACUGUUUGUAAAGUAGCAGUACGAUUACUUCAAGAUUCCUGUUUCUAGGUUGCUUUACUAGUUGAAGUAAUGGCAUUGAUUGAUGGUGAAGAAAAAUCUCUUUGCUGGAGCUGCAUGGAUUCUGUGUGUGUGUACGGGGAAGGAAGAGUGGUAGUCUUAUUUAAUCUAUUCUAGCUGUUCCCAAGGAAUGGAUGGUGAUACCUUAUCUCUUCCCUGGUGCAAAACUUUAGAGGAACUUUCACCUAGGGUAUUAAUGAAGCUGUGUAACAAGUAUUAUUUAAGGCAGAAGAUAAAUGUUCCCAGCAAUACUGCUUUGUGAAACUUCCUUUGGCAUUUUUCUAUAUUUCCCUGCUUUGCUCAGUAGUACAUCUUAUACUUUAACUUCAUAUUUUCCCCUGUUUAUAUCACCUUUUAAUGCUUAAGUUUUUUUAUUCUUCUUGGUUUCCAAAGUUGUUUUUUCUUUCAAGUGAAAGACAAGAGUGCUAGAGCAUAAUCAAAACAACAUUUUCUGUACCACCUCCUCUAAAUAUGUGCAUGGCUUUGAGUGGGACAGUAAACUUCCUAAAUGGUCAUGGCAUGUAAAAUGAUGUAGCACAGAAUGAAUCACUUUCAGCAGUCUUGACAAGGUGGGAGAUUUGAAGUGUUCUGAUUUGAACUGAAACUAUCCACCUGAUUUUUCCCUUAAUUACAUAAAUUCUUUUCUGUUCUCUACUCUGAACUCUAAGAGCUACUUAUCCACCUACAUGGUUUAUCUACAGAAACCGUACCAAAAGUUUUGUUUCUCACUCUGUAUUAUUGGAUAUAUAUUUGAACUGUUUUUUUAAUCACUAGAAAACUUAGAUAUUUUUAAAAUGAAACCAUUUAUGUUAAAUUGUGAGUACAUUCAAUGAUCUGGAAUGUAACUAAAAUUCAAGUACAGAUUUGGAUCGCCAGUUUAACUAUAUAUUUUAUUUCAUGUCAGAAAUUUUAAUUUGGUUUUCAAUAGCACAUUUUAUUUUUUUUAAUGUUAUCUUACUAUAAUUUUUAUUAUGAAUAUAUUUUAAUCAGUUGUCAAAACAAUACUUCAUGUUCUUCUAACAUUUUGUAAGAGCUACAAAAUGCUACAAAAUUAUUAUCUAUUUCAGAAUAUGAAAUGUGCUUUCAAGAAACAAAUUUGAGGUUUCCUGUUCAUGACUUUUUUUGUAUUGACAUUUUCAUGAGAACUCAUAGGUUAUUUGUAUAAUGUUUUCCCUGCUCUCUUCACUCUUAAACAACUUUCCACUCAGCCCAUAACAUGCUCACCUGCUCUUGUUUGAAUCAAAUACGAUAGCCGUGGACUUCAUUGUGGACAAUUUCUAGGAAUUAUGCUGGUUACCCAUCUCUGCUGUAUCUCUGAGCCUGCGUUAGUGCUACUGUCCCUGUAUUCCAUCCAGACAACUCAGUAAAAUAAAUGAACCUGUCCUAAUGAUAAAAAAGGUUGGACUCUAUUCCACAAUGAUUAUGCUGUUCAUUUUCUUUAUUUAUCAAAUAGGAUAUUUCUGUAUCUAUAUUCUGUAACAUAGGAUGAGGAGGAUGUUAAAAGCCUCUGGCAAAAUUUAUCUGUUGGUGUUGUAUGUAUGUUUCUUUCAAAGGUCCUCUUGAAAAUUAGUUUUCCUUGGUGCCUCAAUUUUUUUUUUUUUGCUCAGAUGGACAUAAAUCUUUUAAGGUGCUCUUAUACUAUUUCGUCCCUUUCUUGAAAUGUAAAAAGUUGAGAGAAUGGAUGACUAUAUACUCCCCACUGCCUAUUUCAGUGGCUUUUCAGUGAGCAAAUAUACCUAGAUGAGUCCCCAUGCCAGCCUUCUAAAUAAGCAGUUUGGCAACAAAAGUUGUGGACUGCUGAGCACAUCUGGAGGGUAAGUGCAUAAAUUCUAAAACCAACCCUACAAUUGCCUUUAAUCUGUCCUACAUAUAUGCCGAAGGCUUCCCUCUUCCCUUGCUAAUGCUUUCAUAAUUCAGGACUGUAAUUCACCUGGGGGUCGCUUGUGCUCUGUCAACAUUUAGCUGUUCUAAUUACUUAAUUAUCUGCUCUGGUGAAGUGAUGAGGCUUUGGCAUUUCACUUUUUCCCUAGGAAUAUGCAUCUGUAGUCUGUUGUAUAUAUCAAUCUCUGUAUCUGUUAAAUACAGGGAAAAAUAUUUCAGUUUAUGCGGUCUUCUAGUGACAACUGCAUUGUCACCGAUUACUAAUUCUAGGACGCUCCGCACUCAGUCUCUUGCUUGUUUUAGCCUGUAGAUCUUUGUGAAAGGUUACACCUGCUUACCUUUGAAUUUGCUGGUGAAACAGGCUGAAAAGGAUGUGUUGGAUGAUUUUUUUUUUUGUUAAUCUAAUUAAACUGGAAAGCUGCUUUACAGUGGGUCCCUUUGAAAGACAGGUGAGAAGCAUGGCCUCAUCAAGCAAGGAAGCUAUCUUGUACAUAGACUUAAUUCUACGUUUGGAGAUCAUAGCUGUUGCUAGCGAGUGACACUGUAGUGAAGAGCUGUAAUAGAUGAUGAGAUUAAAGUUGGUAAUUAAAAAAUGGCAAAAGGGAUGCAAAACUGUUUUUCUGUAAUAAGUUUUUGUUUGCAUGCUGUCUGAUUUUCAUUGCAGAAGGGAAAGUAGGUGCCAGUCAAGUUUGUGUAGUAAAAGUUUUUGUAGUAAACAAAAAUGGAAGAGGUGAGGUUCCUAACUACUGUUGACUAUUAAGAAUUUUCUUAAAUGUACCUUUUGUUUUUCUUUAACAUUUUCUUUCCCAGUCUUAGAUAAAUAAACAUUGACUUAAAUAUUACUGAUAGCUCAGUGAUGCCAGUUAAAUGAAAUGUAUAGAAAAAUGCUUCAAGAAGCACUUGCUCCUUCAGUCUUUGCAGUUAAAAGGACUCUUGAAAAGCUGCAGAAGAGAUGUCAUCUUUGAGUGUAGAAACAAAAGAGAGAAAAGAUUCUACUUACACUAAUAAAGUAGCGACCGUACACCUACUAUAAUGGAGCCUAAGUACCAUUUAUUUUGAUUUGUUUAUUGGAGACAAAGGAAGAGAAUCAUCUUAUUUCCUGAGCAAGAUUUACUUCAGUGAUAACAUUUGAGUGAUGGUGGUGAAAAAAGCAUUGCUUUAUAAGAAGAAAAAUAAUGUACAAGUUCUGUUGAGUAACGUGGUGAAUUUCAGUGGCCGUAGCUGUAAUUAUCAGCAUUCACAAAACCAUCUCAGUAAGCUCCUAAAGAUUUGUGUUCCUCCUCACUCCACUCGCCACUAGGAGGGACUGUAUUCUUGUUGUAAUUAUAAUUAUAUACUUUUGCAGCUUGUGUCAUAAGAGGUUAGCUUUUGGUUUUUUUUCCUUAUGCCUGUGCGCACUAAUAGAUCUGUAGGAGCAGUAAUAAAGCUUCUUCUAAGGUUUAAUGCAGAAAAUUGAUUUCUUUUGACCAGAUAAAUAGGCAAAUACAAAGGGAAUUAGUAAUGCUGGAGAAAGAAGAAACUGGAAGACAUGAAAUCUUCUAGCUUUCUCCAAUACUCCUGUGAUAUAUUUCUAAAGAAUGUGUUUCUUGGUGUCAACCUUAAUUUUUCUAUCUCUAAAUAAGCAAGUGUGUUUUCUUGAUAAGCUCUGGACUGAGACUUUCUAAGUGUUCACCUGAAGCUUAUUUAAGCCACUGAAAGAUUUGCGGAGGAAUCCUGAGAAAGCCACUUGCUCAGUCUAUGCUUUGUGUGUGUGUGUGUGUGUGUAUAUAUAUUUCAAUUUAUUAAGGCAUUAUAUGUUGAACAGCCUUCUAAAGAUAGUGUCUACAGAUGAAAAUUGUAUAUUAUAAUAUUGAUCUUUCUAUUCCUACAGUUUGUUUCACUGUAGAGUAAGUCUUUGUGAAAUUAAGUGAUUGCAAAUUCCAUAGGCUAACCGGAGUUCCUGACAUACAGCUGGGAUUUGCUGUGAGAGAUGGAGAGGCAGUUUUGCUGUUAUCCCUUCUAGCGUGGUUAAGUUAAAAAUGCUUUUGAGGUCUUGGGUGUGGAAACAACUUGGUCAGGACAAGUCUUACCAGCCCCCAUCUUCUCUGCCCUUUUAUUAAUGUGCCAAAAUAGUUUGUGCUUCCAUCCUGUCUUCCCUACCCUGCCUAGAUGUUUCUGGAGGAUGUGGUUUUGUGAUACAGCCAAGUGAGAUAUGCCCUUUUUACUUCUGAAUGAGGUGGUCUGCUCAUAACUGCUAUCCUUCAUAUGCCAGUUCAGAUUCUUGUUUGAUUCCACAAUAAGUAGUUUGGGGAGUUAAACUGGCAUAAAAGUAUUCAUGGUUAACUUGCACGGUUAUUUUUUCUUGUAGUUAAUCUUUUCAAUUGGCUUAUCCUUGGUAUUCAUUACAACCUGCACCCUGCCAAGAAAAAAAAUGCAGAGAAAAGCACUAUGCUCAAUUUCAGCAUUCAUUUUAUGACAAGAUCUGGAAAUGUAAUUUAAAAAAAAACAACAACAAAACAAAAACACAUCCAAAACUAAGAUGAUAUUGAGUGUAGUUCUAUUUAUAAAGAAAAGAAAAUCUUGCACAGUAAUUUCCUGUGCUUGCCUAUUAAAACCUAUGCAAGAAUAAUUUCAGUGAAACUAUAGAUUAGCAAAAUGAUACUGAGAGUGUAGUAGGCCACGUACAACUCUUAGAAGGCAUUUGUCCAAUACAAAGUUAUUUAAAUUAAGGAAGUACAAAGGGGAAAGUGCCUGAAAUUCAUCAUAUAGCGUGAAAAUGUUUCAAGGACACAAUUGUAUGUUACAUCAGGUAAGCUUGGUAAUGUGAACGCAUGGUUCACUAUCUGAUGAAGCAGUGAUGUUAACAACACCAACAGUGGCAUUUUGUUCUUUACAUCCUUCCUGUCUGCCAGAUGUAGGAGAGGAGGAGGUGGCCUGUCAGAGGUAUGUGGGUUUCUGCAGAACAAGAAAAGAUGGAGAGAAAAAUGGUAGACUUCCCACACAACCUGAUUGUUUUGCGAAGGGCUCUUACUCCCACAUCUCCUGGUUUAUUCUUAUAGAAGCAGUCUGCUUAUUUCCAUUAUCUAAUUUCUUAGGGGACCCUAUUAAAAUGUAUGGAUCCUGCAAGGGCAAAACUUAGUAGCACUAUAAAAAUAGCAUGACUGCAAGAGGGAAGGAUCUUUCUCAUAUACUUCAUACAGUGUAAACUCAAACUAAAGACUUUGAAAUAAGCAAAAUUGAUUUUUCACUAAGGGGGUAGCAACACUGUACUACCUGAGAGGAUGUCAGAAAAAUCCACAGAGCUUUUCCUUUUCUUCUAGAAAAAAAGUAGUCCUUAAUCCCUAGUUAUUAUCACAGUUUAAUAGACUCCCUCCUGUCUCCCAGCUAUGUUUUAACCUGGUUUAUGUUAAAAACAGUUCCCUGAGUUUCCCUUUUCCUGCAUAUUUUGCACUGGCAACCUAGUCAACCAAAAAUCUUGCAGUACUAACUUUAGGGGAAAAAAAAAAAAAACCUGAAAAUGCUGUAGGGAUGGAUGUUAAUGGGUACUAUUUUUUUUCCUUUGUGCUUAGUGCAGAAAUGAUUCAUGUUGCUGUUGAUUAAAAUUAUUUUAUAUUGCUCUAUAAGACAUUUAUACCUAAACUGCCAGGAUUUAAAGUAACAUCUUGGAUAUGGUCAUGAUUUAAGAGUUUGUUUUAUAAAACGUGUCACCUGUCAAUUACACGUACUCAGAAAGGAUACCUUAGCAAAUAGGUAAAAUGAAAACCCAGUUCAGGGUAUCCCUUGUAUACGUCUUUUCUGAAUACUGUAGAAAUUCCAAAUUUGUGUACUGCAAGCGUUGUCCUCUAGUUUUAAAAAGAGGAAGAAAAACAACAUCUGAAGCCUUGAAUCUGUAGUAUGUUCUUACAACACUGCUUUUAACUUUCAUCAUUUGAGAAGUUUGGAUUAACACUGAGCCUAGUUUGUUGCUGAAAAAUUUAUUUUAUUUAGAAGGCAGUUUUUAAUGAGACAAUAAAAGAGCUCAUGCAUAGUCCACACUGGCCGUGCUAGUAGUGCUAUGAUUUAGGCUGUGCUGAUAUAUACAUACAUGUAUGUAUACAUAUUUAAUAUGUAGUUGAAGAUGUUUUUUAUUAUGAUGUGGCUUUUUAUUGACAUGGAUAGUUUCUAGGGGUUUUUUUUUUUGAGAAAAGGAUGAUGUUUUUGUUAGUUUUGAUCCAAAUUAGUUAUCUUCCCAAUUCCUUCAACCAUGCCAGAAAAUGUUAGAUUUUCAUUAUAAAUGCAAACAAAUCCAUGAGGAAGGAAAUGCUUUGGAAUAAUGCCUAAUUGUUAUGGCUUCAUCUUGUAAAUUAAAGAUCUGACUUCAAUCUUCACUUUAAAAGAAGAAUUUGCACAGAACCCUGCACUCUGAGCAACUGCUUAGAUGUCUGGGCAUUUGGGCAAAAGGUUCCCCUUGUUAUUGCCUUGCAGAUAAAUGUGUUUGGUAUUGCUAAGAAGAGAGCUGUGGAGUCCUCUCUUAGUAUGUGUGUAGACAGAGAAUUCAGCAGUACUAUUGAGCAGAUUGUGAAUUUCUUAUGACAGUGGCUCUGGAGCAAAAUCAAGAAUUGAGGUGUGUAGUUCUUGCAGAAUGGCAUUGAUUUCUAGCUAGAGGUCAGUCCCUGAUAAAGAGUAAAGGAGCAGUUACAGAUUUAAUCCUUCUUCAUCUGCUUCUGAUACUCCAUCAAACUAAUUAGACCAUAGAAUGGCUUAGGUUGGAAGGGACCUCAGAGAUCUAGUUCCAAUUCAACUUUGCAGAUUUUCCUAAUGUUUAGAAGAACUUAAUUUGCUUAUCUUCCAUUUGUUUUGAAGUUAUGUUGUCACCACAGGAUACUUGCUUUGUUUUAAAUAACAGGAUGUAAAAUUUAGUGAAGAUCUUAGAAUCAUAGAAUUGCUCAGGUUGGAAGAGACCUUAAUGAUCAUCAAGUCCAACCACAACUUAACCAUACUACUCUAACAACCCUCUGCUAAAUCAUAUCCACGAGCACCACAUCCAAACAGAUUUUAAACACAUUCAUGUGGUGAAGAUCUCUGAAUAAUUUCACGUUUCUACCCUGCUUUUUUUUAACAGUUUGUGUUGAGCAUGUUUCAUUUUCUUUAAAAAGAAAAGCAAAGCAGAUUCUUUCUUUUCCUUCAAACAGAUGUCCUUCUUUUUUAUGUCUUUUCUAUGAUUCUAUAGGCUCCCCAGGGAAAUGAUCAUAGAAUGAAGCCUGCUGAAGCAUUUGAACAACACUCUCAGACAUAUGGUUCUGUGUAGGAUCAGGAGUUGGACUUGAUGAUCUUUGUUACCCUUCCAACUUUGGAUAUUUUAUGAUUCUGCUUUGUUUCACUUUAAAAGAUCACCUCAGUUGAAGGUCUUCAGCUGAUUCAAGUAAGAAAUUUUAAUGCGCUAUUUAAAGCGAAGAGAUGUGAGACGGUAUUAAAUGACUGAAUGUAGCAAGUUGCUGGAACUAAGGAUGCUUUGUGAUAAUUUCCUAGAGUGUCCCUUUGAGAAAGAAUUGUAUCUGUUUGUUUACCUAGCAUGCUCUUAGCUCAGACCUCUUAUGAUUUAGUUGAUAUUAAAACCAGCAAUGUGUGGAGGCCAGAUACAUGCUAGAAGGAUAAGAAUACUUGCAUUUUGCCAAGGGAAGUGGAAUUAUAUCUCAAUCCUCUGCGUAACAAGCUGUUUAUCAUGCUCAGAAAAUAGCAGUAGGUAACAAACUUGAAAUCUUUGCAGCUAGGAGACAAUUUGUAUCUCCUCAAAUAUUAUUUUUAGGAAGAAAUGAGUCUUACCAUGUCACAUUUUAUCACUAUUUGCUGUAGUCAUCUCAUAUCUUGUUGCAUGUAGUCUAUGGUAACUGAUGUGUAAUAUUUCGAUGGGCAAAAUGGAAUGAUACAGCUCCGAAUUCAUAAGUUUCUCUGUUUCCUUUGUCUCUGUCUAAGAUGGCUUGAUGUUUGUUACAGAAGUUCUAACCUUCUUCUAGGAAAGAGGCCCUGCCUGACAGUGAUCCAGUGGUUUUUUUUUUUUUUAAAGGUCUUAGACAGACAUAGAUCAGUUAUGGGGAGUAUGAGUUGGGGAGUAGGCCUGAGAAUUUCUGGUCAGCCAGGGAUGAGGUUUCUAGAAACUGCUCUGACUCAAAGUAAAAGGAAUUCAAUUUAAAAUACCAACAUUCCUUCCAGGCAAAUGCAUUCUGAAGUGGAAGCUUGUUGAGCAGUUAUUUGGGCUAAUGAAGGUAAUCUCAGAUUAGAUAUGUACUGUCCCAGUCUAAUAUCCAGAAUUAAGUGUGAAGCCCAGGAGAAAGGACUUGACAUCCAACUCAUGCCACCAAAUAGUAGUCUGCAAGAAUAGGCAAGGUUUAAGUAACAAUUUCUCAUAUGAAGUAUGGAAGACGGAGCAAAAUAUAUAAAUAUCAGUUAUAUGAAACAGAAUUCAAAGAUAAACAGUGAUAGGGUCAGAAUUAACUGGAGUCUUGAAAGAUUAGAAGCAAGGACAGGAAAAUAAUAAUGGGGUUCAAGAUGAAAAGAUAUAGUACAUUGCACCUGUAGCAUAUUCAUAAUCUACAAAUGAAAAGAAAAAACUCAAACCUUUUAAUAGAUCGUAGUACUACCAACAAUUGUAGCUGAAAGGUGACAGUAUUGAAAGAGACAGGAAAAUGGUGCCACUCAUGUCUUUAUUUUCAUGAGGAAACCUUUAGUAUUUCAUCAUACAAUUAUAAUGUGGUUAUAGAAAAGGAAUGUAUUUUUACAUGAUGCCUGAGAAAAGUACUAAAAACAUUAGAAUUGUUAUAUGGUUGUUUAGAGAUCAAUACUGUUCUAAAAAUAUUGACAUGCAAGUGUUCUUUGUUUCUCUCGAAUUCCAAGCAGUGAUGUUUGUCAAUGGACAAUGUUAAAGCUGCAUUUAAACUGAUCAUUGUAUGCAUUUCCUAUUUGUCAUUUUUGAGUGAGUGUAGUGCAAACUGCAGAAGUUGAUCAGUUUUUUUAUAAAAUCUUUAACACUUUGGACAAAAUUGUAAACAUAAGGACUUGUAGAACUAUCUUUUAUUUGAAGAGUUAUGAAAUGUAUGUCCUGCAUUUUGCAGUCAUAGAAGGAGUCUCUGACAGUCUGAUUAGACCAACUUCAACUUCAAAUCAUGGAAACAUCAAAAUAUAUCAAUCCUUUGGAAAGAGGAAAAAAAAAAAGGAUCAACUCUAUCCCACUACUUCAGAAAAUCUUCUGGGAUUAGUUUUGCAUAGGUUUUCUGGGAAUUUUUUUCUAUUACUUAAUCAUAUAUUGUGAAAAUUUAUUCAACUUGUAUCUAGUUGAAAUUUCCUUUGCUAGUGUGUUCAUCACUUCUUGUCCAAUUGCUCUGUUCAUCUGAUGAUGAACAUCUUAUGAUGAUGAACAUCUUAGAUGACUAAGAAUUCAUUAGGUAGCUGAAGGGUACAGCUGUUUCUCACUCCUUUUCACGAGUGGAAGAAACCUAUUUUUCUAGUCUGAAAGUACUUAUCCCUACUUGAUCCAUUUUUUUUUUUUCCUGAUUUGGCUACCAGGAUGCUGUGGUAGACUAUGCUAGAAGCCUAGCUGAUAAAUGAUACCCACUGCUAUUCACUGUUCCACAGACCCAGUCAUCUCAUCAUAGAAGACAUUCAGAUUGGUUAGAUGCAACUUAGCCUUUGUAAAUCCAUGCUGGCUGUUUCCUAUCAUCUGCUUGUCUUCCAUUUGCCUUUGAAUAACUUCCAUGAUGACUUGCUCUAUGAUUUUCCCAGAAGCUGAGGUGGCACUAAUUGGUCUGUAGGAGUACCCAUAUGCUCCAGUUUUAUUGGUUUGAAGACAGGUGUAACAUUUGACUUAAUCUCGUCAUCAUGGACCUCAUUGAACUGCCAUGACCUUUAAAAGAUGGUACAGAGAGAUCUUGUAAAUGUUUUGCCUGUUAGUCUCCUUGGAAACAGGAGUUCAGUCUUUUUCUUUUUCACUUAAGAUGUCCCUCUCUCAGUCUGUGUGUACCAUGAGCAGUUCUUAUCUCUUUGAAACUUGGAGACAUAAGAGCUGAUCUUUUCAGAAAAGACAUGCUAAGAGACUGUUGAUUGUUUCAGCCUUUUCUUUAUCCUUGGUGACCAUGUCACCUACCCAAUCCAAUAGCAUGUCUAAUUUUUCUGUGAUAGCCUUUUCUUUCCUGCUGUACCUGGGUGAUGAUUAUAGGCUCCUCUGGGGAGCCUACGUCUUUUGCAACCUUUGUCAUUUGUAGUUGUCUUCAUAUUCUUUUUUCUUGGUAUGCUAAAGCUCAGUCAGGAGUUCCUUGUUCAGCCAAACUAACCCCAUCCUGAGUCUGUUUAUUAUUUUGCACUCUGAAAUGUACUGUUUUCGUGUUUUGAAGAGGCUGUUCAAAAUCAACAAGGAGAGCAGUGUCUUGCUUGCAGAUUAAUGAUUAUUGAACAAACUUUAUUCAGUAGGAACCUUAAGUAGGACACAGGUUCUUAGACAAAUCAAAGUUUUAAUUAAAAGGAUAUUCUGGACAUCCAAAAUAACUUUCAAAUAUUACAAAUACAAUAAUUUUUUUUCCCUUGAGUUUUGAUGAAAAUUUGAGCUAUUCUUUUAAAAAUUGAUUUGGUAUAGAUUUAUGUGAAAUAUUGUAAAUGUAGUUGGUCUGGCUUAGUUCAGAGCCCGGGGACUGGCACCAGAAGUACGUGUAUAGAAAGGAGUUUUGCAAGACGAUUGUCUAAAAGUACUUUCCCAGAAUAUGUAUCUUAGCCUUGAAGAAUUUUUUUACUUAGUUUUGUUUCAGUGUAUUUAACAGCCCCUCAAGGGUUUGUCUUUUUUUUUUUAAUUUAUCCCCAUUUUCAAUAUCUAAAACUACUCUUUUGGGCUCCCCGUGAGGGGGAGCCUAAGUUCAAUGGAACUAUGCCUUCUAUGAGAAAACAUGGGUCAGGUUUUCUGUGUGCUGAGUCUUUCCUAAGGGAUCUUUAUGAUGUAUCUUCACAGACAUUUCACUGAGACAUCUUGCUUGCAGAAAAACUGGGAAAGCCAGCCUAGAGUACUUGUGUUUCCUCAAUGUGGUGUUGUUUUUAAACAAAAUUAGUGGAGUUCACAUUCCGACCACUCAUACAGAUUUUGUGCUAAACUAUUAUCUUUUUUCUUUGAUAAAGCUGCAAAAACCUGUUUGUGUGGUAUCCUUUAUUUAGACCCUAUUCAUUAACACCACUAGGUUUUGCCCUAAGCUUAGCUAGGUUCACUUGUUUGAAUGUUAGAAUAGGAAUGUCUUUGUCUCCUUGACUUGAAGUCAUAGUUUGUGAUUAGUAACAUGAAUUUGAGAGAUGCUGCUACCUAGAUUUGCGCGUGUCCCAAUGCUGUUUAGAUAAAAACUAAAUAUAAGUGAAAUAAACUCCUUUAUCUGUGAUAGCGAUCUUUUCUUUCUUGCAUUCAGGGCCUUUAUUAAAUGAACAAAGAGGAGUCUUAAAGUUUCUUCAAAUCAAGGAAGCAAGUUCACUGUUCAGACCCUCAAAAGGAUAUUGAUGGUCUAGGAAAGCUUUUUUUGUUUUUGUUAACAUUAGUUGGUACUUGGAAGCUGAUUCUCAUUCUCUUAAAUUUGUAUGUCUAUCUUAACAUACAGAGGAGGAAACAGUUAUUUAGUUACUUAUUUACUUUUCUCAAAAGUGUAUUGCUUUCAGAAAAGUGUACUGCAUGAAUUAUGUAAAUUGCAUGUCCAAAAAUAAUGAAGCGGUGAUAUUCUCAUGACAUGGCAACAGAUUCUCCUGUUUAUUUUUUUCUGCAAAGUUUAGUGGGCGUCAUAUUUAAGCAUUCUCAAUUCUUGAUGCUGUUCUAUAUAAAGCACGAAGUGACUAAAGUACAUCAUUAUUGUAGUAGACAUGGUGACGUAUCAGAAUUCUGUUUUGUUAGUUAUGCAUAGUUUUGUAAGCGUAUGGUUUUAAUGUUUGUUCUAGACAAAAUAUUUAAUCAUAAAUGCACAACUACAUAUUUUUAUAUUUGUUCAUUUUCUUUUCACAUUCUGGAGAUGAUAGUUGUCAACUAAAUAGUACCUGUGUUAAUUUUGACUGUUUGGCCAAACACCACUCACAAGGGAACAAACUAAAUGAAGUUCUUGAAUAUGCCUUGCUCAGGGGAGAAGUUUGCCCAAACCGUUACAUAUUAGUGAGUGCACUGUAAUUCUUUCUUUUAAGCAUCUAGCUACUUCUGAAGCUCUCGUUUUGGUUCUCAUUUCAAUAUUCUGUAAUUGAAUACAGAUAUAUGUCUGAAAUAGAGAACUGUGGGAAAAAUAGUACAUAGUACAUUUCAGCGCAACACUGUCAACGAGCAGAGGAAUUUUAAAGAUUUCUCUGAAUGAGGUGAUCUGACAAAUGCUUUGGACAAGCCUUCUAGUUUGUGGAAUGAGUACUUUUUUUUUUUUAAUGUAAACUAUUAUCUCGCUGUUUUUUAGCUGUCUCUGAAAGCAGUGUAGUUAAUAGUAAUGAAAAAUGAAGUACUUUGUUUUUAUAUGUGUUUAUAUUGGCUAAGAUGUUCUGGAUAACUGCUUAUGGAAGCUUCCAUAGGGGUGACUAGAACAGGCUGGAAAUAUCCUAUUUCCUAGGAUAUUCCAAUAUCCUGUGUUUUCUGUGCUGCCAAAGAACUAGCCUUAUUUUAUGACAUAGUUCUGUACAGUAUAAUGUAUUUAGUACUAACACAUUUUGUAAAUAUUUUUAGUGAUAGUUUGCCUUCAGAGGACUCCAACUAUGUCUACUACUAGGAUUGGACUUUGUCAGAAUUGACUCUAGCAGAGUAUUAUCUUCUACCAACUUUUAUAUCUUAGUACUGGUUGCUAUUUUUUUUUUACUAACAUAGUUCUUUUGGUCAGCUGAAGAUAGAAUUUAUUAAGGACAGUUUAUUGCACAUAAUCCAGUUCUAGAAAGUAAAAAAAAGGCCAUUGGUUUUGAUUCACAGUUUUUUCUAAGUCAUUCCUUUAAUCAACACACCUAAUUUUUUUGUAGAUGGCUUCUUUCUUCCUAUCAAGUUCUCAUUAGUGUUGUGUGACUUUUUAAGUCGAAAUAUCUUAUUUGUUGGGUUUUUUUUUAAGUGGUAUGCUUUGUACUCUAGUAACCUUAUUCUUUCCAUCCAGCUGUACCUUUGCUUGACAACUUCAGGUAUGAUGUUCUCUGAAUGAAGAAAAAUUGAAGGCUAGUUGGAUUUUGACAAAAAUGGAUCAACCAAUAUAGAAAUAAUUUACUUUCUUUUGACAUAAAUGUGUCCAAUACUGAGAAGUAUUUGACUGCUGCCAAAGCUACAGUAGUAUUAAAAAGUUAUAUUAUCUCACACUUUCAGAAAGUACAUUUAAACUUUUAUUCUGGUCUGUCUACACAGUGCUUUUUUUUUUUCCCUAGAUCUUAUAUUAAUGAACUAGUUGUCCUUAUUUUUACAGCUGGAUGUAAUUUUUCACUGGGUGAUAUUUUUCUUUUAAAUCUGAAAAUAUGCAUUACUACUUCUAUUGUUAUGGCUUUUUAAAUCCUUUUCUAUUUGUUUGCUUGGAAUUUUUUUAUAAGCAGUAAAAAAUAGUUAAAUAGUGUUUUUCACAUCAAAGCUUGAUUUGCUUUCAUAAAAACAAUUCCCAUUUUGUUCUGUUUUUGGAAUCUAAGACUGAAAAAUGUGAAGUCUUGCUAGGUCUUCCAGAGUUAAUUCAUAAACACAUAAUAUUAUGGCAUGUCUAGUAUUUUUUUUGUACUUCCACUUAAGCCUUUUGAGUAAGAGCACUGCUGUGCAUUCUGUAUGGAAACAUUUAGCUACCACACUACUGAAAAUCUUUCAACUGCAUAUUUCUCUGCAUUUUUUUUAUCAUUUUUAGCUUAGUUUCAUAUGUAAUUAUAGAGAAUGCUGUUUAGACUCAUUGCCUAAAAGGCCAAAUUAUAAUUUAUUCAUCUGAAUUAAUGUAAAUGGGUAAACUUGUAAAUAAGUGGAUGCUCACACAAUCUUUAAACAACUUUAGAAGUACACAGAUAUAGGAAAACCACCUACAUUAAGAUUUUUGCUGCAAAACCAAAGACUCGUGGUUGCUUUAAGUAGAUCUAACUUUGGCCAGGGUAGAAAAAUGUAGUUCUGACAUUACUAUCACUUUUCUUCUGUUGCUGAUGUUCAUGAAGUUGCACAAUAAAUUAGAUCAAAGAGCAGAAAAAAUACAGAAAGAAUUUAAUCAGCUCUGAAUCUGUUCUUCUACCUGACUUACAGACUGCAUAAGGCACAAGGGUGGAGGAAAAAGGAAGUCAGAGGGACUGAUUUCUGCGAGCACAAGCAUUCUCCCUUCCCCAACACAAGAAAUCAAGGAGAGGAGGCAGGAAACUGGUAUGGCUGAGAAAGGACGCACAAGUCAAACAAAGCGGAAAGAAGGAAAUGUACAGGCAGGGGAAGCAGGAUCAUGUGGCCUGGGAAGAGUACAGGAGUGCUGUUGUGGUAUAGGACAUGCUGAGAUGUGAUGAGGAACCCUAAUGCACAGAUGGAGCUGAACUUGGCAAGGGAUGUGAAAAAUAACAAGGGAUUUUAUAGGUACAUUGAUCAGAAUAGAGGAGCAAAGGAGAGUGAAUGUACCCACUCUGGUAAAUGAGAAAAGAGAACUGUCUUCAACAGACAUGGAGGAGGCUAAGGUACUCAAUGAGUUAUUUUCCUCAGUCCUUACUGGCAGUCAGGCUUCCCACAUCUCUCAUGUCUGUGAACCUUUAGUUAGGGGUUGUGGAAUCAAAAUCUCUCUCACUAUAAGCAAAGAGCAUGCCCAAGACCACCUCAUGAAGCUGAAUGUGUAAAAGUGUAUGGAGCUGGAUGACUUGCAUCCCAGGGUCCAGUGUGAACUGUCUGUGGUUGCCAAGCCACUCUACAAUUGCACUUGAAAAAUCAUGGCCAUCAGGUAAAGUCCCUUGUGACUGAAAAGAGAGGAGCAUCACUCUUCCUUUCUCUCUUUCUUAAAAAAAAAAAAAAAAACCAACAACAACAACAAAAAAAAAAACUCAGGGAACUACAGGCCAGUGAACCUCACGUCUUUGCUUGGAAAGGUCAUAGAGCAGAUCCCCCCGUGAAGAGAUAUUAAUGCACAUGGAAGGCAAGGUGAUCUGAGACAGCCAGCAUGGCUUCACCGGGGGCAGAUUGUACCUGAUGAGUCCAGUGGCUUUCUGUGGUGAAAUGACAGUAUCAGUGAACAAAGGAAGUGCAACAGGUAUCAUCUAUCUGGACUUGUGUAAGGCCUUUGGCAUCUUUAUCUCUGAAUAUGAAUUUGAAGGCUGGACUAUUUGGUAGUUAAGGAAUUGGUUGGAUGGUCUCAGCCAGAGGGUUGUGGUGAAUGAGUCUAUGUCCAGCUGGAGGUUGGUCACAAUUGGUGUACCAGCAAAAGUAUGUGUCUCAGGACUGGUGUUCUUCAACAUCAGUCUUUACCAGUGAUGUAGACAAGUAGGUUCAAAUGUACUUCAGCAAAGUUUGCUGAUGAUACCAAGCUGAAUGGUGCAGUUGAUAUGACAGAAAGAAGGGUCAUUAUCCAGAGGUAUGUGGACCGGCUUAAAAAGUGAGCCCAUGUGAACCUACUGAGGUUCAGCAAGGCCAAGUUCAAGGAGUUGCACUUGGAUUGGGGCAAUCCUGCAUGUGUGUACAGACUGGGAGAACAACUAAUUGAAAGCAGUCCUGCGAAGAAGGACUUGGGGAUGUAGGUGGACAAAAAGCUUGAUGUAAGCCAGUAGUAUGCACUUGCAGACUAGAAGGCUAAUUGUAUGCUGGGCUGCCUCAAAAGAGGGGUAGCCAACAGCAUGUGAUUAUCACACAUGAAGGCCACAUCUUGUAUCCCCAGCACAAGAAGGAUGUGAAGCUGUUGUAACAGGUCCAGAGGGCCAUGGGGAGUAUUAGAGUGCUGGAGCACCUCUCCUGUGAAAAGGUUGUAGGAACUGGCUUUAUUUAGCUUGCAGAAGGCUCUGGGGAGACCUCUGUGGCCUUCCUGUGCCUGAAGAGAGCUUACAAGCAACAGGAAGACCUACUUCAUACAUAGCCUGGAAGCACUUGGACUAGGAGGAAUGGCUUUAAACUGAAAGAAGGGAGAUUUAGGUUAAUGUUUAGAAUAAAUUCUUAGAGAGUGGUGAGGCACUGGAACAGUUUGGAUGGGGCCCAGAGAAGUUGCAGAUGCCCUGUCCUGGGGGGUCUUCAAGGCCAGGAUGGAUGAGGCUGUGGGUGGCAGCCCUGUCCACAGCAGAGAGGUUGGAACUGGAUAAUCUUUGUGCUUGCUUCUAAUAUAAGCCAUUCUAUGGUUUGUUAGCACUCUGAACUCUGAUAGGUUUAAAAUUAAUUUCCUCUUGAAUUUCUUAUUUGUUCUGGAAUGAUGCUUCAGUAGGGAGUGUGACUUCAUUUCCUUUCCUUCAUUUUUUUUCCCUUAAAAAAUAAAUUUUUACUUUUAUUUUAGCAGCAGAGGGUCUAUCAUAAAAUAAUUUAAAAUAAUAUGGCUAAUGAUGGUGCAGCCUCCAGUGGCAGAUGAAACUGCAAUGCAUUUGGAGAAUGUUUAAUUCUCGGAUCAGGGAAAGAUUAUAAGGUGUUAUUUAGCAACAAAAAUUUUGUGUUAACAUGUACCAAAAAUUAUAAUAUUAAAAGGCCAAUAUUUCUUUCUGUCUGAGACUCCUUCUCACCUGCUGAAAGACAGCUAGCAGCCUCUGCAGUCAUAAAAGACCAUUGCUGAUAGUAGUGAAACACUUGCAGUAUCUGCGAGAAGAGAGCAGAAACCUGUUGAUAUAUACAACUAAACCUGCCAUACUUAGUAUGAAGAUAACAUUUUUCACUCACCUCUUCUCCACCUGCAACUUUUUUUUCGUUAAUAAUAAUUUAAAUGUUUCCCCUUAUUACAACUGUGGAAUGCCUUUGAGGAAACUUUCAGCCCUGUACUGAAGUAGGAUUGUAUCCUGAAUUUGUUGGCAGGCCAGGAAAGUAUGGAUAAAAAAAAUAUCCAAAGGCAUGUGAAACUGAAGUAUCAGUAUGCAAGUUAAAUUUCAUGUCCUGUGUGUCUUUUAUCACCUUGUUCUUGUUGGGAAGACUCACUGACUUUUCCAGAAUGGUGAAAUAAGUAGAUUUUGGCAGGUAUUCCUUUAAGAAUUACUAUGAAGCUGACCACUGGUCUCCUAGCCGCCUUUGUGUUCAUUGUUGGUCAAAAAGGUCGAGCUAGACAUAUGGCUAGUCUUACUUAAUGAACUCGAAUAACUGGCAUUAAUUAGUACCUUUCAGUACAGUUGAUCAAAUAUGCACAUGCACACACCCUGAGUUAUUUCCAGUUCUAAUUAAAAAAUUUUGAGUAAGAGGUCUUGAAAUUCUGUUAUUAUUUGAAGAGCAUAUGCUGUAAAUGAUGUUAUGUGUUUGGUAAAGGAAGGAAAAUGCAGAAACAUAGAGGGACAUUCAUGAGAGGAAUCUAAGUAGAGAGUUCAUUAAGACACCAACCCAAAUUUAUUUCAGAUUUAGUCUUUGGUGUAUGUUUCCUGAGGUCCAUAAUCAGAAAGUUACAGUCAAUGAGAAGUAUAGAAAAGUACACACAAUACUACAAUAUAUUUAUGGGAUGAAUAUGUAGGUAAACGAAAACUGCUUUCAUAAAAAAAGCCAUGUAUUUAUGGAUCUUGCUGCUGCUUGUGUAAGAAGCCUGACAGCCUAAUGUUGCUGGUGUUGGUCAGGCCAUCUAGAAUCGUAGUGACCUGGUAGAAGAGAAAAUGGAGGUUUUUCUGCUGGGUAAGACACUGAUCCAAACAGUUCCCCUGUUCUUGUUUCCCUACUGGUGUCAUCCUCUCUCCCUUUUGUCAUUUUAAAAAAUUGAUAUAUCAGGAUGUUUUUCUAUAUUUUGUGUUAGAGUGAAUAGUAAUGUUUGAUAAGAAAUAUUCUUUUGCAGAAUUCACCUUAAUAUUUUAUGCCAUUUUCUGUGACUGGCAAUGGCAACACAGAGUGGUAAAGCAUAGGGCUUCCAUCAGACACACAGUGCCUUGAAUAGGUUGCCUGUGUUCCUGUGCUAUGAAAUAUGUAUUCACAUAAUUUUCUUAUCCUAGAAGAAAAUGAGAGAGAGUAGAGGAUUAGAAGCCUUGCCCUGAAAACAACUCAUACAUGUAGGAAACAAUAUUACUUCUACUUGCAUUUUGAUAUAAAUGAUUUUUUUGUUGCUGUUGUUGUUUUAUUUUAUUUUGGUGAACUGAGGUACUCUUGAUCCUGAGAAGAGUAAAGAAUGGAUUUCACAAGUCAUAAUUUGUGUACACAACCUAUCUUCUGUGUAAAUGUCUUACUUAAUCUUUUAUCUAAUUCUUCUGUUUAGAAAUCUAUGUAAAGGUAAGGAUUUGAGCCUUAAUGAUGCUAUGCUAGUAUGUCAUUCUUGUUUGUUUGUUUUUGUUUUCUUUUUCUAAUGACAUGGAUAGCAGUUUCCUUUGUCUUUCUGAUUGUUUCCACAUUAAAAGGUUAAAUAUUCAAAAGGAAAUGUAAUAAAAAAUCUGGCCUUAACUUCUUUGGGUGUUUUUUUUCUUUUUCUUUUUCUUUUUCUUUUUGCCAGGAAUUAAUUUUUAUCAAGAAAUAAUCCUUGUGUUUUUCUUCAUAUAUGUUAGAGCUUACUUCUAAUACUUCUAAUCUUGGAAGCCAAAGCCUCUAAAAUUGCUUUAGAUUUAUUUUUUUAAUUUUCUUUUGCAGAUUGGCAUGGCUUUCUAACAUCAGACUCAGUGUUACUUAAACUGUACUGUUAACAUUAAGCAUCUGAGUAAGAUGUUCAGAGUAACUUUUAAGUUAAUAUCAUUUUUCUUCUCUAAAUUGAUUUUUUUAGUUUAUAUUUGCAAACUUUCACUAAAUGUGAAAGCAUGAACACAGAUAUACUUUAUUCAUUUGGGAGUGAACUUCACUUGAAAUCACAAAAUUGUAAUGUAUACAAAUUAAGAAGAGAUCUCUGAAUGAAAUCCAAGGUUGAGAUCUUUAAAACCAUAAUAAUAGACUUGGCCACAGGCUUCCUGAUGUCUUAAAGUUAGCCAACUGUUGUUACUCCUUUGUGUUUCCUUCCCUGUUCUGUCAGUCAGCUGAAACAGUAACACCUUCCAGCUUGUCAUCUAGGACUUGUGCUAGCCUAUAUGUCCAUGCUGAAGAUUUUUCUCUUGCUCUUCUCUUCCUUUAACUUCCUUUAAUUUUUCUCUCCUAUUGAAUGAAUAAAUAUCCUGAAUAUUGAGUCUAGAGUUACAGUUUAUAUUUACAUAAUUCUUAUACAGAUUCUGAAUAGAGACUACAGCAACACUUGUUCUCAAUGUUUUUAGUCCACGUGUCAGGUCUGAGAGUGUAUGUAUUGGUUGAGUAGAAUCCUUGGGUAAGAUUGUUCAUCAGAUUUUGAUGGAAAAGUAACCGCUGUUAACUUGCAGUGAAUGUGCUGCUACAUUGUUUUCGCAUCUCUUCCCUUAAUGUAUCUAUUCACAACUUUGAGUUUCACUGAGAAUACUACUUUAUCUGUUCAGCCCUCAGUAAUUUUUAGAGGCAAAGCUGUGGUGAUGUGAAGUAUUUGUCAACAGAAUAAGGAAAGAACAAGGAAACCUAUUUAAAAAUACAGCAGACAAACAAGACUAUUUAGUUGUUUUUUUUUUUUUAAUUCCAGUUUGGGCUUUCUUUUCUUAGCCACUCUUCAAGUUUGUAAGACUUCAAGUCUUACUAAAUAAACUAAAUAAGAGAUUAUAAUGAUCAUUUAAUCGAUAUUAUGAUUACUAUGCUUUGCUUCAAUUUGAGGAAUAGACAACUGACUUUUCUUUAGUAAAACCCAGUGUUAGACAUCUAUUUCCUUCUUUUUAGGAAUGAAUACUCUGCUAGAGUCCUCCACUAGGAAAGGAGGGAAGUAGAGGAAAAAGUUCCAUACACUUGAAAAAUCCUCUGCUGUUUUUUGGAGAGUCUUAAUACUGGCACAAUUAGGCAGAAAACAUUAUUUUGUUUGGGGUUUUUUUAAUCUCAGUUUGAGUCAAUAGGUAGUUUCAGAGCUGACUGGAUUAAUCUAACAGCCUGAUGAAUCCACCUAUGAAAUUGAGGUUAUAUGAAAUACAUGAGUUCUAAUGAUGGGAAAAAUCUAUCAUAUCUUACUGGCUUUGGCUAAAAGUAAGUAAUAUAAAGCUGUUAGGCAUUUCUGAUGGUUAGUUAGCAAUCUGUUACCUGAAUUGUAGCAAUAGCCUCUAUCUUCUCUAAAUCUUCUUGUCAGCCCCUUUGACUCUCUUCCUGUAGCUCACUUCCCAUAGAUAGAUUUCUAAAUUUACACAGGGGCUGCUCUCUGUUCCUCUAAUCAUUUUGCUUUGAAACUGUGUCAAUAAAUUGUUAUACUUGUUUUUUUGUAUUGUGGUUAAAAUGAACAUUAAGCUGUGAAUGUGCUAUCCUUGGGCAUUGUCCGACAGCUUUCUCUCAAAAAGGUCUAUCUAUUACAGAGUGUAUUUUUUUUCUCACCUUAUCACUCUUGCUUUUGUUCUUCUGUUAUUUAUCAUAGUAUCAUAGAACCGUAGAAUCAUUAAGGUUGGAAAAGACCUCUAAGAUCAUCUAGUCCUACUGUCUUGAACACAUAGGGAUACUGCUGGCUCCUGCUCAUCUGAGUGUUGACCAACUCCCCAGGUCUGUACACAGUCUUCCAGCUACUUUGCCCCAAGCCUGUAGUUUUGCCUGGGGUUGUUGUGGCUAAAGUUCAGGACCUGGCAAUUGGUCCUGUUGAACUUGAUCCCACUGGCCUCAGCCCAGUGAUCCAGCCUGUCCAGAUCCCUCUGUAGGACCUUCCUAUCCCCAGGCAGAUCAACAAUUCCUGCCAGCUUGGGGUCAUCUGCAAACUUACUGAGGUUGCACUCAAUCCCCUCAUCCAGGUCCUCAAAAAAGGUAUUGAACAGGAUAUACCCCAGUACCAACUGCUGGGGAAUACUGUUUUUCACUGGACUCCAGCUGGAUUUAACUCCAUUCACCACCACUCUCUGGGCCCGGCCCUCCAGCCAGUUCCUUACCCAGCCAAGAGUGUAUCUGUCCAAGCCACGGACUGCCAGCUUCUGCAGGAGAAUACUGUGGGAGACAGUGUCAAAGGCUUUGCUGAAGUCUAGGUAGACCACAUCAACAGUCUUUCCCUCAUCCACCAGGAGGGUCACUUGAUCAUAGAAGGAGAUGAGGUUGGACCUGCCCUCGAUGAGCCUAUGCUGGCUGGACUGAUCCCCUAGUUGGUCCUGCACACGUCAUUCCAUAACCUUACCUGGCAAUGAGGUGAGGCUGGCAGACCUGUAGUUCCCUGGAUCCUCUUUAUGACCCUUCUUGUAGAUGGGAGUCAUGUUGGCAAGCCUCCAAUCCUAUGGAACUUCUCUACAGGAACACUGAUAGAUAGUAGAAAGUGGCAUGGCAAUCGAGUCUGACAACUCCCUCAGCAUCGUUUUGUGAAACCCAUUGGCCUCAUGGCAGUCCAGGUGGAGUAGGAGAUGUUUCCACCUGAGUCAUGGGGAGUUUAUUCUGCUCCCCUUUCCAGACUUCCAGGUCAGAGGGUAGAGUACCUCAAGGAUAACUGGUCUGAGUAUUAAAGACAGGUGUAAAAAUGGCAUUAAAAAUCUCAGCCUUUUCCCUAUCCUUUUUUAGUUCAAACAAAUGCUAUGUCCACGGGCAUGCAGCAUGUAGCUUUCAGACUCACUUUUUGUCUUUUGUCUAAAUUAAUAUCCAUUCUAUUUAGCUUCUGAAUGUUUGCCAUUCUACAAAAGGCAGUUUUAUCAAGCUAGUGAUAAUUAGAUACCUGGCUAAUGUGCUUUGUAUAUUUAUACUUUAUUAGAAUUUAAUCCCAAAGUGACAAUAUUGUCUCUGCUGACAAGCAGGAUGAAAUUCCCAUACAUAUUCUACUUCAUUAACUUUCCUAAUAAUUAUAAGCCAACUUCCCUGAAGGCUUAUGGGUAAAAUUCCCAUAAAGCUGUAUCCAGCUUAUACUAGAUGGAAAUUUUCCAGUUCGUCAACCACAAGGACUUUACAUUACAGAAUAAUGAGAAUGAAUCUGCUACUAGUUCCUAGAGACACUAGCACCACUGGUGAGUAAAUGCUACCAAAAAGGCUAUCCAUUGCAUGCUCUGCUUUGCUUUGAUAGAUAAGAAUAAAAUAACUGUCAAUAUGUGUAAAGUUAGGUCAGAGACGGAUGAUCUUGGAAAUAACUUUAGAAGCAAAGGUAAGAAUUUGGAUUAUUUUCAGAUCAGAGAAAAUACACAAUUCAGAAAAAAAGUUUGGUAAUAUUGAUGUGAUUUUACGGUUGAUUAGCAUGUGAAUACAGCGUGAUCAGGGGAUGAUUUUAUUCACAUCUUUAGUUCUAAGUUUAUAUCUACAUUCCUAUCCGCCUAGUUAUCUGUGUGGUAAUAAAUGGUGUGCUUGUAUUGAAUAUUGUCUCAAUUUCCAAAGAGAGUUCUAUAUAACUUAUAGUAAUGAUAAUAAUGAAAAUAAAUUCAGGUGUAUGGAAAGUAUGUUUUUAAUGGGCUUCAGAGAGCAUGACGUGUUAAGCAUAUAAGUUAUCCAAAUUAUUUUAAGUUUCUUGUGAAGUUUACACUUCUUAAAUACCCAUGUGUUAUGUUCUGUGGGAAUAGCCAUAGCUCCUAUAGCCAUGUAGAUAUUUUUGCUGCACUUGUACCUUUCAAAUCUUAAUGUAUUUCUAGUCACACACCGUUGUUGGUUUCACCUUCAAAUAGAUCUUUGCUUAAAAGUUAGUAUUAUAUUAAAUUUGCUGCACACAUCUUUUCAGGUAGAACAAAAGCAAUAAGCAGUUAUAUACAUCUCAAUCCCUUAUUUUUGAAAGCUUUCAUAUCAUUCAUUAUUUCAACCUCUAAAUCCCCCUCAAUAUUUAUGUAAAUACAGCCUCAUGAUGAGGUGCCUGGCAUCUCUAUGGUUAAUGUAAGGUAUCCCAAAUUCUAUGAUAAAAAAUAAUGAUACUGAAUUAUUAUUUUAGGGACAGGAUAGCACUGGAAAGAAAUAUUCAGUUUACCAUUAUCUACAAUUUCAGAAGAUACUGUGAUAUGCAUUUUAUAUUUUGCACUGCUUAUGCUCAAGAUUCUUUUGUAAAAAGAUUUGUCAGAGAAUUUCCUCAUAUAGAAAGUGUGUUGUGUGAAUGUAUUUUUACCAGGAGGGUUAUAAAAGUCCUAUUAGAUGCUGUAAUGUAGCAUUUUUUUAUGAUUUGUGUGGAAUAUGACAAGAACUUGUGUAGAAAAUUCAGUGGUGUUUGUAACAAAAUGCCUCAUUUUCACAACUCAGAGCAUGUUACUAUUAAAUAAAGUAUCUCAACACUAAAUAAAGCAUAUUAUUAGCGUAGGUGGUGACUGUGUGUAAGGGCUUAUUUUCCCUCCUUUCUUACUUCAGUUAAACACUGUGGUGGAGAUAAACAAGCUGAAUUAUCUCAUUACAAUAUGACUGCUGUUUUGAAAAAUGUAAUCCUUCUAAAUUUUGUGUCACUAAUAUUAACAUUGUGCAGAUGCUUGUAUGCACAGUCAGAACUUUAUCCAUAAAGUAAUACUUAGGUGAAAAUCUGUCCACGUCAGAUUUUCCUCUCAUAGAGUAUCAAGUUUUAAGAAACUUUAACAGCUGUUUUCUUUUAAUGUUUUUAAGCUUUUAGGGUUUGUAACUUGUUAGAAAGGAUAGUAAAUGCCACCUCUCACACUCUCCUGAAUUUUCACGUAGGCCUCCUUAGGCAAAAUGUAUGUUUUCAAGUUGGCCAAUUAGGCAUUAGAGCUUUCCUGAUUUGAGUUGUAUAGUACAUAAAAUAGAGAAUUUAUUGCUUGGUUUUGAUUUCUUUCGGUAUUAUUUUGUGGUGUGUUUUUUCCUAAUAUAGAUCUACCCUUCUUGAUUAGAAUGAGCCAGUACCAGGUCGUAGACCAUGAACUUUAUCAGGACAUUGUUCUUCCCAUCAGGGUAUUGGGCAAAACAACUUUCUUCUGUCUGAUUCAAACAUCAGAUAUGUUUGAGCAAUUUUCUUCAAAUGUUUCAUUUCUGUCUGUAAGAAAGCUAAUUGCCAAGUCCAUGUAAAAUAAUUUCUUCUUAUUCGCAGUAAACCAUUUCUUGCAAGUAGGAAUGCUCUUCUGUUUUACUUCAUGGAUUUACUAUUUUGUUAAAUAUUGCAAUUUUUUUUUUGUAUACUAGGAUAGGAAAAGAGAUAGAAAAUAUGAGAAAUUUGGCUUCUAAUUAAUACUCUGAAUAGACUCAGAUGGUUGUUUAUCAUCACUUACUUUCUUGUCUUGCUAUGCAGUUCAUGUCUAUGGUCAAGUUGUGCUGCUAGUACGUUUUCUAGGCAACUAUGAGAACUGGAAAGUCAUGAGCAAUUAAUGACUUUUAGAAGGUAGAAGAACUGCGGAUAUUGCUGGAAAUUCUUCCAACAGAAGCUCUUACUUGGAUAUUUAGAAUGACAUGUAAUAUAUCAUUAUAGAAAAAGAAAAAAAUUCUGGCCCAGCUGUCUGAGCAAGUAAUGAGAAGUUAUGAAGAGAGACAUCCUGAUGAGACAGAAGUCAACCACUCACCUAUGAUCUGAAAAUCUCUAACUUUCUACACAAAAAAUUCUAUGAAGCUCCAAGUAAUAACUACUCUUAAUUUCAUUUCUUGUGUUCCUAAGGUUGGACUAAGUUUUAUAUGCUUUCAUCAGAUGAAAGUGUCAAAGUAAAUUGUCAGUUAACAUCAAAUGUUUUAUGCAGAAGACUAUUGUUGUGAUAUGCAAAUAUUCUGUCUUAAAUUACAAGAGAGCCAAAUAAAGUAUCCCGCUCUAUAGGAACAUUGUGUUCUUGACAGAAGGCAAUGCGUUGGCAAUGUAGUAGAGCUGCCAGUGAUUUGAUUUUGGAAAAGACUGCACGACUCGUUGGUGUGUUGUCAUCAUGUGUGUUUGAACUCUGACCAUGGUCUUCUGUUGUCUUUUAAGACAGGAAAAUGUCUGCUCUGCACUAUUCAAUAAGACUAUCUUCCAACAGUGUAGCAAAAGCACACAAUGUGUAAAAUUGUAAAACAUUAAGUAAAAACAAAAUAUUUUAAAAUUAGUUCUUUGCUAUAUAUUUUCUCUUAAAUUGAGUAUCUUUAACUUGUUAAAAAGGCUUACUCCCAUCCUUAUCUAUUCAAUGAUAUCAUUGUUAUCAUUGUUCUAUUUUUUUAUUUCCUGACUUUCUCCAAAUUAGAAUGAAUAAAGGACAAAAAUGAAAAACAGAGGAGAAUUUAAAAGGAGUCAGCUAUAAGAAAGAAAAAAUUUCUUCCCUCGGACAUUUACUUUACUGUUUUCUAAGUAGCAGUGUACAAAGAUUAAUACUGUCUAUGUUUAGUUCAGAAACACUGAACAUUUUGAGAUACAAUUUGUGCUGUGUCCCAGGGGAACUCUGAACUUUUUUCCUGGUGAACAUCCAAGACCUCUAUUUUUACUACUACUUGUGGUGUGGAACCAUUUGAGAGUUUCAAGCUUGGCAAAGCAUCAUGUGCAUACGUUCAGUUGCCAGAAAUAGUGUCAUGCUUCAACAAGGAGCCCUUGUUGAGCAAAAAAUGAGAAGACAGAGUAAAUUGUAAGAUGAGCUAGCAAAAUAGGAUGUCGUGUCUUACAGGGUAUUUAAGAUGUACUCUAAAAGUAGAGAGAGAACUAAAAGUUCCUGCUGGUGUAAUAUAGGAGGAGCAGGCUUGUUUUUAUCAAUGUAGUCCAUGGUAAGGCCUAUGAAUAUCAAUGGAAAAGGAUUUUGCAUUUCAUCAGUAACAUUUACCUUGCUGCAUGUCUCAUAAGGAGACUCAAGACUUGUGAGGAAAAAAUUAUAUCCAGAACUGAGGUAAAAACACUUCUUGUCAGUACUGAAACUAAAAUAAAUUUUGUUUCUAGUCAAAUGGUUUUCCAGUUAUUUCCAAGAAUUUGACUUUAAUUUUUUCCUGUUUUUAAACCGUUUUAAAAAUUGGUAUGCCUGAAAAUGUUACUGUUUAAUUUUUCAAGUACGUAAGAAUUAGUUUUCUUUCUUUCUAUUCUGCAAUGCUUUCAUUGUCUUGUAAAGAUUAAAGUAGCUUUAUUGUGGAGGACUGACACUGAAAAAAAGUACUGCUAAUUGCUGCCUAAAUUGUCUUUGGUGGUUAAUCUGAUGUCUGUCUGUGGGUUUUCUCUUUAGUCUUCAGAUACUUUGGGAAAUCAACUGUUCCAAGUGCAGCACCCAAAGUUUCAUCAAAACAUACGGCAAUUUCACAUUUUCUGAUGUGUCGUGCUUUGAGAAAGCAAGUUAAGUUUCAGAAAAUCAAAUCUAUUUAAGACAUUUCAAAUUUGAAUAGUGACAACUGAGAUUGAAAAUCCAUGAUUGGACACUUGGGCAUCAGUAUACUUGACAAAUGUAAAAAAACAUUAAUUUUGGCUUGCCCUCAUGGUAAUGCAGAACAGUUAAAUAACUGCAUAAACAUCACCCGCUGAUGUAAGGGCUGCUUCUCAUUUGGCUGAGUUUCUGACUGCAUGUAGAAUCAAGCAAGGGGAAAACUGAACUCUUUCUGCAGUUUGACCAUAUGCAUUUUAUCAUGGGCAGUGGUUUUUUUUUUUGUUGUUGUUGUGAUUAAAGGCAUAAGGAAUAGAAGAAUUUCUCCAGUUUUAGUCAGGCUGCCAGUUUCUUUGUUAGCAAACUUUUAUUACUUUUUGAGGAGAAUAGUUCUGGAGAUAACAAGAGUUUUUACUAUGUACCUUUCUUAGACAAUGGUGACUCAUCAUGAAUAAAACUUAUUUCACCUCUCCAUGAUAUCCUUCUAGUACUAAAUCUUUUUAUUACUUUCAAAUGAAAACAUUUUGUAUGUGUUUUCCAAAUUCAGUGUAAGAGUGCCUCACUUAGUCAGAAUUUCUACUGAUGAAUGUCUAAGAUGAACUAAUGAGGGAAGAAAAUACCCAGAAACAUGGUAGUCCUAUUUCUGAGAUUUUGACAAACCCACGCACUGUUAAAUGCGUGGUAUUUUUGUUGGUUUAUUUUUCCCACUGUAUCUUCUAUAUGUCUGUUUGCUGGUUUACUAAAUCAGAAACUUGGAAUCUCCUGUAAAAAGUAAACUUUCACUUGGAUGUUGGCUGUGAUAGCGAGUUCAAAAUCAGAAAUUAGUAGUAAUAGGAUAAAACUGUCAGUAAUAUUUCCUGUUGCUGCUAUAGAAAAUGUACUAAUUCCAAACUGUUUUGUUUGGUUUUGUUUGCAUUCUCUUUUUCCAUGCAUUUUUCUUCACAUAAAAUAUUCUCCCUCUAAAUUUUGAGAGAAAAUUGCUGAAUGCAAAGACAUCAAAAGCUUAACAUUCAGUGGUACCCCACUUAGCCUCAAGUCUAGCUUGACAUUUCCUAGUACUUUUCUAGCUCAGCCUGUUUGGAUCUAUAUCAAAAAGAUCUGUUCUUCCACUAUCUACAUCUGAAUUAUCAUCUCACAUUUGGUCUUGUAUUCCAGACUAGGGGAUCCCUUAUAGCAUAAUAGAAAGUAUCCUAUCUUACUAAAUAGGAAUAACCACAUGCAUCAGUACAGGUUAAGGGCUGACCUGCUGGAGACGAGCUCUGUGGCGAAGGACCUGUGAGUCCUGGUGGACAACAGGUUGGCCGUGAGCCAGCAGUGUGCCUUUGUGGCCAAUAAGGCCAGUGACAUCCUGGGGUACCUUAAAAUAAGUGUGGCUAGCAGAUGGAGGGAGGUGAUUCCUCCCCACUCUACUCUUCCCUGGUAAGGCCACAUUUAGACUACUGUGUACAGUUCUGGGAAUUUCUGUGUUCACUAUUACUGCAACUGUAUCUAUAUAUUUGUCAACUUCUGUAACCUUAUGAAAAAAACCAUGAAUGUAAGCAAGUAUUUGUUUAAAGUGAUUCCAAGAUGUUACUGGUAGUACUGGAUGUACUGGAUAAAAACAAUAUUUACACAGAUCAAACACUCAGAACUUGAGGAAGCCUACAUGGGGCACUGAUGAUUUUCUCUAACCAUCCUAAUUUUCCAAUCCUUUCUCUGCAUCAAAGCUAUUGUGUUGAGGAUUUGCUGAGUGGAGGGGAUAGUGAGAGAGGCCGUUUGAUGUUCUCAAUAGAAUGAUAAUCUGACUUCAGCUAAAAAUAAUUGUUAGAAUUGAGAUAUAGUUUUUUAGAUGUUUGAGUGACCUGGCUGUUGUCCAACUGUUGUUUAAUGUGUUACAGCUCUAAGGAGAGAUCAAUUUGGCCUGGCUAAGACCUUAAUGACCAAAACCCUUCAGCCAAUGCUCUGAUAUAAUCAUUAGAAAUGAGAACUUUCUAGUUGUUUGAAAUGUACCUUGUAAACUAUGACUGUAUCAUUUUCUGAAUAGACAGGGAAUCAUUUUUAGUAGUCACUACGGUGUUGUGUUGGUAAGUGAUCUGAUCAAUAUAUUUUGUGUAGCAAGCUUACAAAUUAAUUGUAAGAAUCUACAGCACUCAAAGGCUCGGUUAUGUAGUUUUCUUCGAGACUAGAUACUAAAGUCCUGUGUUACGAUUGUAGUGGCACUGAGUUGAAUUUGGCGGUGCAGCUUCUGAACUGAAGUGCUGAAAUACUAUAUCUCUUGGCCUGAGUAUGAGAAACUUCAUCAGAAAAACAGUCUACUUACGUAAAACAACAAUGUGUGUAUAUUGCAUGCAUACACACCCUUUAUUAAGCCCUUCUUUGGGAAAACAAAUGUAGCACAUUGUCAGAUGCAGUUACAAAGUGGUGUUGGUCAUUCUACAUCCUGAUGAGGAUGGUGAAAAACUGAUGAUGCGGACAACAGUGACUGUCCUUCACAUUUCCAUCAUUCUGCAUCAAUGGAUUGCUGACUGUGCAGCUGAGUAAUGAAAGCUGACUGUACGCAGAGCACUGCCCACUCAUAGUGACAAUUUCUAGCAUCCCACAGUAUGAGAUGUCUUAGUAGUUUUCAAGGCCAAUGUUGGACUUGUUCAUCAGUCCACUGGGCUAAACUUUCCAUGUUGCAUGUUCAGGUAGAUGGGGAUCUCUAUAUCCCCUUUUCUCUGAAGCAGCUACCCAAGGGUUUAUUGUAGCCUGGACACUAGUAGGAAGAGAAAUGGGGAAUGGAUACAAAAGAAGGUUAUAUGCAUAAAAUCUUUGGCUUCUAAUCAAUUUUCACUUGUAUUCCUUGAACAUUACUCACUGCUCCUGACUAUAUUCAGGAUUGCAAAAUUGAAAGCAAAGCUGGUUUAUUUAGCCUUUGGAGUUUUUGUGCCCUUAUGCUACUUACAAGCCUGUCAUGAUUUGGCCCAUAAAUUGCUAAGUGCUUUGCACUUUCAAAGGAAUGAUUAAGGACAGUCUUGUCUAGAAAUAAGCUAUUUGUACUCCACAGUCAUCAACAGAACAUUGUUAAUAGGUGCUGUAGUGUUUGGCUUUGACUUACCCUUUGUAAAGUUCAUAGAGUCUGCCAUCUGAAUCAUAGACAGCAGACACACUGAGGUAUAAUCUCCUUGCUAUCUGCCAAAACUGAAAAGAUAUUAAACACAGAACAAUAGCAAAGAUAUACCUGAUGGUGCUGAGAAGAGGCCAUGUCAUUUAUAUUUGCCUCUAAAAGAUUCCUUUUGUACAUGAUGUUUGGAAGAUGAGGUAUUAUACAACUGUGUUUUUUAAAAACAAAACAUAGCAAGACAUGAGUGUUCACGUGUCUCUUCUGAACGCCAUCAAAUGCUUUUUGUCAAACUGAUAAAUAUCAAAUAUUGAUUUGUGUUGUUUUCCUGGCACUCCUGUUGAAUUUGUCAAGUUUAAUGGAUCUUCCCCAUGAAAUUUCAUUUAUCAUGGAAUCCAUAGUUGUUUUCAAGUGAAAUGACAGCUCUUAUGAUUGAAUAGUAACUUCAGCAUUAGUCUAGAUAAAAUUUGCCUGUUAUUGAUUAAAGUUGUGCAUCUUUAUAAUUAUAGAAGUCUGAUCUAUUACCCUUCCUUCUUGAGUGAUGCGUCAAUAGUAAUCUCAAAGAAUAGUUUGUUCAUCCUGUAUAUAAAAAAAGGCCUUAUUACAAGGAUUGUAGCUUGAAUUUAUGCAGCUCAAUACAGGCGUACAUCACCACUUUCCUCUUGGAUAUGGGUACAUCUUGGCACAAGGUUAAUAAAUACUUUUAAGGAAAUUAUGUAAAAGCAGUUUGUAAUUUCAUUCCAUUAAGUUUGUUCAGUAUGAAAAGACUGCAUUUGGGACUGCAUAAUACCCAGUUCCACUGCCUUCACUGUUGGACUGAAUAAGGACGUGGAGUUCCUUGGCACAGUCAGAAGUGAAGCCCAGUCACUCUCAGCUCAUAUUUUCUGUUGAGGAAGAAAUAUUUCUUUUAAGGAUUCUUUCUUCUGAAACAGAAGUCUGUUUUUCAGACACUGGUCAGUGCAGUACACUUAAACUCUAAUUUCAACUCAAGUACCUUAAGUAUACUUAUUCCAAACUGAAAAUGUGAACACAAAUGUCAGAAUUGUUUUGAGCAGACUUGCAAGAUGUGAUCUGUUUCUUGUAAUGAAAUGAGAUGUCAUUUAAGAAUGCAUUUUGGUUAAAAAAAAAAAAAAAACAAACUUUUUUUUCCUUCCUUUUUUUUUAUGUCAGGAAUGUUUAGCCUAAACUUAAUAUGCUUUAAUCUUCAUCUGUAUUUGUAGAGGGUUUCUUUUUAGAGAAAGCACUGUCACAAUUCCUUAAAUUGAAAUCAAUACCUGAAGUAGACUAUGAGUUUAUAUGAUUUCUCAGUGGAAAAAAAUAUUUUGAAAUUUUCUCAUGAUAACUCUGAAAGGGUCAGUAUUAAUGCAGGUUUCCAAAUGUAAUGGAGCAUAGUGAUAGAUGUGUAGAUGUUUAUGAUUAAUAUACUUUAUGUUACUUAUUUUAUUCUAGCCAGUAAUCAGUACAAUAUACUUAAAUUUCUUAAUUUGAGGCUUGAUCUGCUUUCUUUUCUUGUUAGUUUUCUUUGGAUCAAAACAGGGAGGACUUUUACUGGUUUUAGAUUUUCAGAGGCUUAAAAAUGACAUGUUAGGAUCUGCCCAAGGAUAUCCUGGCUCUGACAAAUUUUAACUUUGCUAAAAAAACUGCUUUUCUGCUUUAGACUUACUAGUCCCUGUGCGGAGGUGUGACAGGCAUUUUAUAAUGUCAGACAGAAUAUUAUGGCAGAGUGGGUGGAACUAAAAGAGAACUGACUUCAAAGCUUUCAUGUGAAGAAGCUUCUGUUCAUUUUUUUCAAGUUCUUAAAAAGUUAACUUUGUUCCUUUUUUUAAUGUGUGUCCUUCCACCAUGCUACUUCUCUGCUUUCCCACCUGACCUUUUCCCCCCUUCCUCUUGCUGCCCUUCUAUAACCAGCAUUCUGCCCAAAAUAGCACAGAAUUAACUUACCUGUGAAUAGUGUGUCUCCUAGGAGGCUUGCACUUCAGGCUCCAGCAGUGAUCAAGCUGAGUACUAUACUGGGCCCUAGAAAUGGCUUUAACAACAUUUUGCUCAAGAGCAAGCACAGUAAAAUGGCAACCAACCAUCUGUUGGGAGGAUGCUGAGAGCAAGAAGUGAUUGUCAUAUUCAACCCAAUUAUUUGUGGUUUUGAUCUUCAUCUAUGGCUAUCUUUUAGUGGUAAAGGAUCCAAUCAUUCUUAAAAAGGUGAGAGUGUUUACUGGAUUUAAGUGUUAAUUAAAGAUAGUGGAAGUUAGUUCUGUCCUUGUAUGCUAUUAUCAUAAAAAUAACCAAGUUAGCUUUGACCCAUAUAUUCUCUUUGUAUCAAAAUUCUGCAAAAUAUCUAUGAUUUUAAUGAAGGAGAAACAAAAAAUGAACUAUGUAGCCAUAUGGAUUUUUUUUUUAAAUUUUGCUAUCAUUAAGACUGCUAGAUGAGUUGAAAUGGAAGCUUUCAUUUAGAGCCAGAAAUAUACCACUCAAUUGAAUAGAAAAUAGUUUCACAGAGGAGCAAAGAGAGAGACAGAAAACUAAUUGCACUAAGGCACUGAUGAUUUCCUUGCUGAUGCCACAGCUCCUUAUAAGAUGCCUUCUGAAAAAUUUGCUCAGGUAUGUAUUACGCUAAAAAGCUCCUAUUUUUCUUUGAUUGUUUCUUGGUUGAAAACACUGUCAUUUUCUUGUGAGUGCUCUGAACCAUCACCAAAUUCUUUGUGGCAACUAGUGGAGUAGUAACACAUUUUCUGUAAAAAGUUUUGUUUCGAGAAUUUUGUCCUGACUUUACAAUAAUAGUGACAAUUGAGCACCAGAGACAGGAAGGCUUUUGAUGUGCGCUGACUAGCUAAGUGCUCUCUUCUUACAACUUGAAAUGGUAACAAUAGAAUGAUUUUUCGAUGCACUGUAAGAGUCAGUAUUUCUAUAUUAUUAUUUUUUUAAUUAUUGUGGUUAAGAAACAUACCCUGUCUAGAAAGCUGAGGAAAACACACAGUUCAGGGCAUAUUGAAGUUUCUUUCACAGUCAAGCUUCAUCUUGGAUCUUUGCAUACCUUUUGCACUGACCACUCAAUACCAUAAAUGGGCCCAGAGAUUAACCUUGGCUAAAUGCGGAUAAAUUUGACUUAAAUUUUGAGCUAGUAAUAAAGCUUGAUUUGAGGUAUUGCUUGAUGUAGCAAUGAGAACCAUGUCAUUCUGUUUCACAAGCAGAUACAAGGACAAUGUUCCACAGAGGAAUGAGAGCAAUAUAGGUAAUUCCCUAGAGAGAGAGAUGAGGGUAAGGAAAAUGGGGAUAUGGUGAGAACAACAGUGGGAAUUAAUGGAGGAGCUCUUAGUAGCUCAUCCUUGUCAAUGCCCUUUCUAGCCUCUGAGGAAAUCUAUUGAUUCCUCCCAUGUUGUUAAACUUCCUCAGUACUUGAAGGGUUUUACUGUUGAACUAAGACUGCUUGCUAAGUGCAUAAUUAACUCUUUCAUAGGCUUUACCUGUGUUGUGCUAUCAGCUUGUAUAAGAACAAGAAUUUGAAGUGCUCUCAUAAAUGUAUGAUAAAAUGAAAAUUGGUUUGUUUGCCUGUUUCUGUAGUCUAAGAUUCACCUUUUUUAUUUGGGAAAAAUAAGCAAAGCCACAAAACAAAAGAUGUUUUUGUGUAACAGUGCAUGCGUAUUGCACGUACACAAGUGGAUUUAUGUAUUCUGUACCUACUUAAAGACAUUCAGAGCAAGAGAAAAAACGAGUUAUGUGGUGGUGGGUUUUUUUUGUUUGUUUGUUUUCUUUUUUUUGUCAGACCCAUCACUACUUAUGGCUACAUUUUGCAGUUUCAUAAACUUGUAUGUUAUGCUUACAGUAAUUGGAAAGAGAUUUAGUAAAGAUUUAGGUUAAUUUUAAAAUAUGGUUUCCUUUCCAGUGCUUUUCCUUAAGUAUAUAAGAUAUAUUCCUGCAUAAUGAACUAUGGCUGAUUUCACCUUCUUGGUAGGCUAUGUUUAAUAAUUUUUUUUCACAUUUUUUUUCUUUUCUUUUGCUUUGGAGCUAAAGUAUUUGUGUAUUAAUACUCUAAAAAUAAUUUUAUUCAAUUGCAGCCUAAACAUUAAUGACAGGAACAUUCAGUAAUGGAUGCUUAAAACAUUCAGAAGUGCAAAUUUUUUGUGCCUGUUGGAAUGAAAAACCAUUCUGGUCUGCAAUCCAGGCCUGAUUGACAAAAUUCUGAAAUGAAUAACUAGAAAUACUGGAAAAUAAGGCAAUUCAUAAGGGAUGCAAAAAAAUGUACAUUCAGCUAAGAUAUUAAUCUUUUCUAAAUGGGAAAAACAUUUAUUGAAAAGUUUCAGCUAGUUAAUGAAGUAAUAGCAAGGAUUCUCAUUCUGUUAUACCAGUCUUAACUACUAAGGACAGUGAGUGGUACAGAAACAAUUCUCCAUCUAAUUCCACUUUUCAUUUGAGCAAGGAACACCUUAGGGACGUAGACACUGAUAAAUGGCUUUACUAUUAAACUCUAUAAAUUCUUGCCAGUGAUUUGGACCCUAACAACCUUCUUGUAUUCUAAAAAUAUAGAGUUAGAAUGUUAUUUUAACAUUUCAUAUUUCGGUAAAUAAUCCAUAUAUUUACAUCAGUAUUUCCCCUUUCAUUUAAAUGAAUAUUCUGCUUCAGUAGGAAAUGCGAAAUGUUAACACUGCUCAUAUCAGGGGCAGAUGGUUUAUCUAAGCAGUUUGUUUUCCAAUUUUCUUCAUUGGAACUUCAGAGGAGAAGAAUGGAUGACCUAUAAUCUAUAGUCUUUCUAUUGCUGAGUGAUAGGUUUGGAAUUUUUUAGGUUGAUGAGAAUAGGGUUGGGUUUUGAGCAUAGAAGAACGGCAUACAAAAGAAGUAGAGUCACAAAAGGUUGGAAUAUACUCCAUGAAUAUCUAAAAAUUUCUCUCAAAAAGGGAAUCCAAGCAAGCUGUCCAGGCUUGCACUAUAGCAAUGAAGAAAUAGAAAAGCAUUGCUGUGGGAUUUAUUGAGUGUCUUUCAGACAGUGAAUUAUCCCUGAAGAUAAUUCUGUCUCUGUCUACUGGGAGAGGAAAUGGGCAGCUAAUUUUGCCUAGAUAGCUUACCUGUUUUGUUAUAAGGAUGUUAAAUGCACUUUUAUCAUACACUUCUGACUUGUCUCUGCAUGGUGAAAGUUAUUUUUACUUAGUAUUAUACAAAAAAAGUUAUAUGUAUAAUCAUUGUGAGCUAUUUCAAAAGGGUAACGUGCCUUAUUCUAUUCAUCUGAUACUUCGGAAUUUUGUGGAGAAGAAAGAAUUGAUGGAGAAGCGUUGUUUUUGGAUGGGGAAAAUAUGUGAGACAAGUGAUCUGCUACAGAGAAGUACUGAAAUGAGACAGUGCAGUUGAUAAAAACAUGAAGGCCUUUUCUUUAUCCAGCUAACUGAUACUUCUACUUGGUCAGUGAAUACAGUGGGACAAGUACUAUCAAGGCACGGGGUAAGGAUGCUUAUCAAUAUACUGGGUAUAGCAAAAAUGUUUUUCUAAGUAUUUUGUGCUAGUGGUGUCUUGGAAGAGGAAAGAUGAUAAACUAUAUUGCCAUACUGUAAAGCUUGUUGUAGAUUUCUUAGUAUGUAAGGCUUUUACCUGGCAUCUAAGGACUGGGAAAAUGUUCCAUUUUGUUAAAGAAAGGGGAGAUCUGAUCAAAGCUCUGACACUGUUUGACAGGUAGCCAUUUUGCAGGUGGGUAUCCACACCUGUUAAACUCUGAUGUGCCCAGCAGCAAAAGACAAAACCACUGAAUGUCUUUGGAGGAUGCCAUGUAAGCAAUGAAUGUUUUCAUAUAUGAUGAAUGAGGAACAAAUAUAAACAAUACUUUUGCACUGACUUAUAGCCUGCCAUUCAAAAUCUGAUUUAAUGGUAGUGUGGUCUGCAUGUGAGCAUUCAGGAAGACCAAGUCUUUGUAGACUCUUAGUCCACAAAGGCUGGGAAGCUCUAUUCAUGCUGGUGUGAAACUUAAGAGUAGGAAAGUAGAAUCAUUGAGUCCAAAUGUGCCAUUACUAAAGCUACUAUACUUCUUCAUAAUUUACUGGACUGAAGUAACAUUUUAAGGGCAACUGAAAGGCUGUGGAGCUUGUGUUCAUUCAUGUAUUGAGAUGACUGAAGUACCAGUGUGUACAUUUCAACUUCCUUGUGUUUGCUGCGUGGACCUAAAAAAAAAAAAUUGUGGAGACUUUAUGGCCAGUAGUACAAAAAGCGUUCAAGUUGAUUACAUGUGGAGGUUGUUUUGUAGUUUACAUAUUUUACUUCCUUAGGUGUGGGGUGUAUUUCAGGCAAGGCAUGCAAAAAAUCCAGGGUAGAAGAAGUGGUAGCUUUCAUUUUAGGGGGAAAAAAAAAAAACACCUAGAAAACAAACAAACAUCUGUUCCUCUGUAAUUCUUCACCAUUUGCAGUAUUUAUCUUUGCUAGGUGACAUCCGUGGCAUUUUAGAGGUGAGGGGAUGGAGAUUACUAUGUGCUUAAUACCUACCUCAUGACUGUAGUGUUAGUAGUUGAUGAUGCAGUUGCUGGUAACAAUGCCAACUUCUUUGCGUGCCCGUUCAGUCACGGUAGGAAGUGAUAGAAUGAAAACAGAUUCACAAUGCUAUUGUGAGUGGGUUUGAAAGCCAAGCUAUACAAGCUGGGUUCUGCACUCUGUUACAUCUGGUGAAAUGAGACAAAUCACCAGAGUGAAUUCUUAAGAGCAUAAAAUAUGGCAGUGCUUAGUAAGGAAAACGUUCUGUUCUGCUUCUGUAAGGAAAAUACAGACUUUCCUUAGCAAAGUCUUUUUGGGGGCUAAAACAAACCAACUCAACUGCUUGAAAUUAAAUGGUUUUUAUGAGGUGUUGUCCUGGUAACAUUCAUCUCUUGUGAUGGUUAUUUGGUGAACUGCAUUUUAACCAAGCUUUAUGGCUGAAACCUAAUUCCAACUAGAUGGAUAACUGUAUUUACAGAUGAGCUGCCCUGUUGGCAAUUACCUGCAGAUAUAGGGGACAGGAGAAUGGAAAGACAGGAAACAGUAGCUUUUAGUCUAUGCAAUUAGUCUCUGGUAACUAGGCGCCUUUGGAAGAAGCUAGAAAUUGUCUGCUUUAUUCUAAGCAUAGCAGUAAUUGCCCACACCUCUAACCAUAGAAACAGAAGAAAUGGAGGAGGGCAGAUGAUAUGUAAAAUCCACCAACUCACGGUAGAUUCAUUUGCGUUGGAGAAGCGUAAGAGCUCUUGUGCGAGAAAGGCUAUGGCAGGCAGUUUUCAGAAUUCAAGACUUGAGUGAAGUCCAACAGUCAAGAUGUUAAUUACUGUCAGACUUUCCUUAUUAGUAAAACUGAAAGUGUGUUAUUUAUGAAUGCUAGGUGUGCGCGCAAGACUACUCCACUAAUGAUCAUUACGUGGUCUUGUUUUUAAUUUUUUUCUUCUUACUCUGAAUGAUCUGUCAGCAGUUGGAAUUUAUAGGAUUCUAAAUUUAGGCUAUUUAAAUUCAUUGAAAAUGUGGUGUCUUAUUGUAACAAGUCACUAAAUGUACUUCUUCCUAUAAAGUGGAAUUUAAGGCUCAAAAAGCAGUUUGCACCUGAAGUAUACUUUGAGUUCAGCAUAAAGUAGCAGUUGAAAGGUGUUCACACUUCUUAUUUUCUGUGGAUCAUUUAAUCCUGUCUGUUUAGAUUGUCAUUAUCAUGUGUUGAGGAUUUGAUUCCAGGUUUACUACAGAACAGGUAGCAGAAAUACUAAACAAAGUAACUAAUGCAUCAUAUAUGCUAUUGCCUUUUAAAGGAAUCAUUAGCUUAAAUACAAGUUCUUACAAAUGUCUCUGAAUCAUUAAAAACACAAUGCUCUUGGCUCUUUGUUAAUUCCGGGCUCUCUGUACUAUACUUGAUUGUGUGUUGUAAGUACUAUGCCAUUCCACAGUAUAGGCUAAGUUAUUUUCCAUAUGUUGAAAUCCAGUUUUGUUUGUAUCAAUUAAAAUUGAUGGGGCUGUCAUAAAUAUCAAACAGCUUAGCUUAUGACUGUGUCAUUCAAGCCAUUUCAUAUAUAAUACACAACUCAAAGUCUAUGUGUAUGAGUCUAAGGGAAACAUUUACUUAAACAGCCCUAUUCUUCAAGUGACUCUGAAUAAUAAUGUUCCCUACUUCUAAGAUCUUAAAAAAUAAUAAUAAAAAGAUUUAAGUUGGCCUUUGUUUUUGACAUAUACAAUAAGUUUCAAUAGCUUCAUUAACCUGUGGAAGAUGUUUAUAAAUUCUCAGGCAAUUGCUUUGCUCCCUUGCCCCUCAUUUGGGUUUACACUUAAUGAGAAUUAGUUCACUAGUUUAUGCUCUGAAUGUCAUCUCUAAGUUCUGCUUCCUAGGUCUGAAAUUAAGAAAAAAACUUUACUUUUACUACUUCUGAUAGACUGUUACCUAGACAAUAUUUGCUCAAUGCUGCUGAAGAUUUCUCUGAGGGAGUGGUGAAUAUAAUCAUGAAUAUAAUCCUGUUUGACCUUACUGAGAUCUGUUUUUUUUGUUGUUGUCAUCCCCUGAACCCCUUUAAAAAAAAGGUGAUCUUUGCUGUUCUUGUGUCUUUCACAACACUUGUGGCUUUUUUAUUUUAAAUUACCAAGUGCUAUAUUGGCCUGUGUGAUUUUCUUUGCACAUAGAUCUCUGAGGUGUUGGUGUAUUUUCUUGUAUGUAUUGUGGCUUAAUCCAGCAGGAAGCUCAGCAACACACAGCCCUUUGUUCACUCAUUGGUUUGGAGGGGGGAGAGAAAUCUAGAAUUGAGGAAAGGCGGUUUACUAAUAAGACAAAAACUGCAUGCCCAUGCAUAAAACAAAAUAGAGGAUUAAUUCACAAUUUCCCAUUGGCAGGCAGAUGUUCAGCCACUUCCAGGACAGCAGGGCUCAUCAAGCAUAAGAGUUUCUUGAAAAGACAAAUGCCAUCACUCUGUUUCCCACCUUCCUUCCUUACUCCAGCUUUUAUUGUUGAGUGUAAUGCCAUAUGGUAUCAGAUAUCCCUUUGGCCAGUUUAGGUCAGCUAUCCUGGCUGUGUUCCCUCCCAGCUCCUUGUGCACACCCCGACUCCUUGUUGACAGGGCAGCAUGAGAAGUCCUAGCACUGUUCUGCAACUACAUCAGUAUGCUAUCAUCAUUAUUUUCAUCAAGAAUCCAAAAUGUGGCAUCAUACAUGCCUCUAUGAAGAAAAUUAUCUCAGCCAAAAUCACGACAAUAUCCAUCCUUAUUCCAAACCACUUUCAUCGUACUUGCAUCCCAUGCUUUCUAAGAUAUCCUCAUUAACCACCCCCCUUUGAUUAAUGCACAAAUACCAUUCCUUUAGUCUAUGGACCAUCCCUAUGAAAUGUCCAUAAAGUGUUCAUUGAGUUCUUUUAGUCUAUAACUUGGGUUCUUUCUAUUAUGAUGGUUGCUCAGAGGAGGCAGUGUGGUGAUUGAAGUUACAGGAUGCCAAAGCCAGCUCAAGUUGGGUCACUGCUGCUUUGGAGGUUCAUCUCUGUUGAUCUGAGCAGUUCCUGCUAUAGAACUUCAUAUAGCAUGCAACUCUAGUCAUGGUUUAUAACACUUUAAAGGCAUAUCCAUUACAGUCUUCAUUCCUUGCCCUUUUGGACCAGGCCGGAAGAUAUAAUAUUGCAAUGAACUCCUCCCCUCACCCUUGCUCAUACACGCUGUGCAUACAUUAUGACUAUGGUCUUCAUAUGCUUUCUGUCACUGCUUUCACUUCUUAUGGUAGUUUGGGAUGUGUCAUGUCUGUUGUGUUUGACUACUGUUACUUUUUCAUAAUCAUGGCUUUUUCAUUUUGUUCACGUUGUAUGUAUAAUGAAGCUCAGUUUCAGGUUCUGAUCUGCUAAAUCUAUUGGUAAAAUCAUUUUCUGUCUGAAUUAACCAUGUUUCAUUUUUUUUGUGUCCAAACUGACAAGGAAAUGGAAAAUCCAUUGUAGGCAUCUGCCAGUUGAUUUAUAAUCAGUCAGUAAAUAAUGGUAGGCUGUCUUUGAAGUCUAUGUUUGCUAAACUUGUUCUCAAAGCAAUUUAAAAGGUUGCGAAAAUGAAGAGGCAGUUAUAAAAUUAGUAAGUUAGAUGGAAACAAGUAUCAUUGGAUAGAAAAAAAAAUCAGGCAUAUAUGAUGUAACUUGACAUCAUAUUACUUUUUAAAUGAUUGUAGAGAAUCCUGUGUUCAGUGUUGUCAGUCUUUUUUCUUUUAGCUAUUAUUAAAACAUCAAUUUGCAUUCCUCAUAGCUUAGCUAUGGUUACAAAACAUAAAAAAUAGAAAUACUGCUACCUGGCCUCUAAGGAGUUCUAUUACCAUUUACACUAACUCCUGGAAAUAUGCUCUUAUGAAUUGUUAUGUUAUUAUAAUUUGAGGGAGGUGAAAUAUCAAACUGAGGUUAAUUUCUCUUAAGUUUUAUCUGCGUAUGGGAAAGUUUUUAUUAUUGCUAUUAUUACAUAUUUUUAAGUUCUUCAUUAAGCACCACAAUAGAGAAAAUAUCUAAAAAUAUGCCAAAAGGAUGAAAAAAAUUAAAAACGUACUUGAUGUUGCUGAUUAAUUAGAUUUGCCAUGAAACCAUUCCAGUGUUAUUCUAGCUUAAAGCUAGAAAUUUCCAGGACAAUGUUUGAAAUAUAAUGAUGAGGUUUUUGUUCUCUGAUCUGUUCACGUAUAGAAAAUUGCUCUCCACUUUCAUCUCUGUUUAAUCCUUCUCUUCAUAUAGGUUUGACCCUACUAACUUCUGCAAUCCAAUUAACAUCUUGUAAUAGGUGUUUGCUAUUAUGUCAGGAAUUACCUGGAAGAGAUAGCUCAUUAAAGUUUCUUUGAUGUGUUACUGCAUUUAGAGAACUGAGAUGACCAGCUGUCUGUCCAUGGGCUGUUUCUAGCCCCAAAUGUUUCACACAGCUUGCUCUUUUUGUGAAAAGGCUUGGAAGGUAGCUUCCAACAUUCCCAGGAUACCUGUGGUUCCUCUUGAUGUAUUUACUGGGGAUUUGCCUUUGCUGAUAAUGCCAUAUGAGUCUGGGUUUUUACUGCUUUUCAUCAGGAUACAUCCUAUCCUUUCCCUGUGUCAUUUGGGUCCUCAGGCAAGAGGACAACUGGAAGAUAGUUACUGAAGGCUGUUAUAUGUCCUGGCAGAAGAGAAGACCUACUGUUUGAUGUGUGAACAAAAGCUUCAGAGGCAAGUGUAGGUCAUUUGGCACUGUAUAUGUAGAGAAUGUGCUGAAUUUACUCUGCAUGCAGAUCAAUUUAUCCUGUUUUAUGCAGCUUCAUGUCUUGCUAUGGCAGAAAGCUGGCCUUUGGCGGUGCUGUAGUGGGGAGGGUGGUGAUGCAUGUUAAUAGUUAAACUACCUGAACAGAUUUCUUGACACCUCUGCUAUAGGGGUGAUGCUGAAAUCAUCUAGGGUGAUUAUGGUGAAAUGUACGCUAGCAAGUAAGCCAUGAGGUGUAGGUGAGUCAUCUUCGUGCUCCAAGGGGUGGCCCAGAAUCAUUGGUAAACUGCAGACUGUCCUACUUAGACUUACUAAGACCUACUUAGUACAAAUAGCUUCAUGCUAAAUGUCCUAGUGGCCAACCUUUUUUCUCUUUUUUCUUUCUCAAUCAGCUGCCUUUACUGACAUGUGCAGUUCAGCUUAUUAUUUCUCUAGGGACAAGGGGCAACAGGCAGGAACUGGAACAUAAGAACUUCCAUACAAACACAAGAAAGAACUUCUUUACUGUGAGACUGUUAGAUCACUGGAACACCCAUUCCAGUGCCUGUAUAACAUAUCUAGUAGAAAUUGAGUAGUGAAGGGCAUAAAUGUCUCCAACAUAUCUGAUAAUAUGUAAUUCCUGUUCCUAUCUAUUCUCUUACUUGUUAUUUUUGAGACUCAAAUCACACUGAAUAAAAACCUAUAUUUGAAUUCUCUCAUAUAUGUUAAUAUUCCCCAAUUAAACUUCUUAAUUCAAUACUACAUGUUACAUAUAUUUACUGUGCUGUUGCAUAUUUUUGCGUAAAUAGCGGUAGUUAUCCAACUUUGUCUUGUCUGCAUUUUUGUAUCCUAGAAUUGUAUUAUUAAAAGUAUUCAAUCAAAUCAAUUUAAAUUCCUCAUUAGGCAUGAAUAAAUCAGUAACAGCUUUUUUUCCAGUAUUUGACUGUGAAUCAUGCAACUGAAACUGGAAAGAGAACUGUUGAGAAAUAUAAAGUCAAGUGCUGUGCCACUGAUUUCUGCCCUUGCCUAACUAAAUUAGUAAUUAAUUAUGGAACAAAAUACUACUGGGUAAAGAUGGAAAAAUCUGGCUAUUCUGGUACUACAAAUUUCCCCACUUAAUAUUUCAAAUGCUUGAUGAAGAUUUUUCCCUAUUUUUCAAACUUAUUUGAAUACACAAUAUUUCUGAUUAAGGAUGAGAAGUUCACUUAUUUGCAACACGCCUUUUUCUGAGAAAGUUAAAUAGAUAUUUAAAGACAGAAGACCUUGAUAAUGGCAGACUUUAGUUUUUGCGGAGACAUUAUGACAGGUCACAGGAAAUCAAAGCCACACUGAUUUUCAUUAUUUUCAGAAAAUAGAGGAGGUCACCAAAAUGUGACUAUUUUAGAUGAUAUUCUUAAUGCACAGGGAGAACGUCUGGAGAAUUUGAAGUGACCUACUAAUUCAUUGGGAGUGUUUAUGGAGUGAUAAUGCUUACAACCCUACAGAAAAAAAGAAGUUAGCAGAGUAAAAUUAAAAAAAAAAAAAAAAAGAACUUGGGAGAAAUCAGUCUUUGGGAAAUGGUGAUCUGGAUCUCUUAGGAAAAUCAUCAAGGUAAUAAAUCUUUCUCUUCAAACUUCCUAUAAAUAAGUUAUGAGAAAAUGGACUAUGUUAAAAACAGUAGCAAAAUAUCUGGGUGCAGAAGAAGGGAUGUGAAACAUAUGCAGAGGGUUUACUUCACAUGUUGCCAGAGCAGCAUUUGGUCCUUUUUUCUCUGUUACAUAUUUUGUCUGCUCUCACAAUUUACCUUUUCUCCGCCAUUUCUCUAAUCUAAUCUCCAAGGGCUGAGAAGGUAUUUCUGUUACUUCUCAUGCGCUCACAAGCAAUUCUUCUGCAUUAGGAUUCUAUUUGAAAGAGAGGUCGAAGAAUGGCAAAAGACAACAAUAAACAGUGGGUACGAGCAAACAGAUAAUAUAGAAAAGGAAGCUAGUAUUUGAAAUGUGUAACUGAUAAGGAAGAUGAAAGGGUUAUAAUGCAGUCAUGAAAAAUGGUGACAAAUAAAGGAAUGUACUAUUGCUCUUCAGACUGGAAGAGCAAAUGAUAGCAUUGAGGCCUUUAUGUGUUGGCUUUCAGAACAGAGAUACAUUGUAAAUAGAUGUAUAAAACAUUAUUUUUUAAUAAAGAUACAUACCAAAAUAGGAAAAUAAUGUAUUUAACAGGUUUACAUUAACUAGGAUGUUUUUUUUAAUUUACAAACUCUGAAGUAUCUUUUCUAUUAUUAUUUUUUUCUACAAGGGCUUAAAAAUAGCAGUUUUUGAAUCUUUUUUUUUUAAAGAAAUGAUGGUGGACAGGUUUCUAGGGAACUGAAGAAUAACAAACAGCGUGCAGCAAAUGCACAUUCAAAGUGAGGAAAAAUGAGCACCAUAGACAGUAUUGGGAGAAGAAGAAAACUAAAUGAAUUAUGAAUCAAUUUGUAAGACACAGAGGAUAAUUAAAUAAGAAAGCAACCUGGUGAAUCUUACAAGAAGAAUUGCGCCAAAAUUAUAUGCUUGCUUUCUUCAAUGGAAAAUCAUCAUCUACUUGAUAGAAAAGAAAGGGAAAACAGACUAGGAUACUUUACCCUAGUAAGGAUUUUGAUGUCAUUCUGCAUGACAUUAGCAAAUUAGUGUAAUAUUCAGAAGGUGAAAUGGCUAUACAGUGCAUGGGCAAUGGGCUGAUCUCCUGCAACCCCAAGUCACUCUGUGUUUUUCUCACAAAUGGGAAGGACUCAGUAAAUACCUACGAAGAUUUCUCUUGUACAUAUCUAUUCAACAUUUUCAAGUUCAUUUUUGCUGACAGAACAUCUCUGGAGUUCAUUAUAUUAGGAAUAUUUCAACUAUUACAGAAAAAUACCAGAACAAGCAAUUUUUGGAAUGAAAAUAUCACCUGUAAUUUUUCAAAUUUAGGAGGGAAAAAAUGAAAUUCUUAAGAAAAGGAGAAAUGAUGUGCUGGCUAAUCAAUGCUACUGCAGCCGAGGAUCCUACAGCUUGUAACAGAUGGUUAGCCACAAGAAAAAGAUCAAAUACUUUGAAAAGUCAAGAACUUUUCUUCUUAGUGUACAAGGAAAAUCACAGAUAUUAUGCUGAACUGAAUCAGCAAGAAUUUUACUUGUAAAAUGUUUGAUUUUUUAAUUAUUAUUCUUUGACAUAAGUGAAGAUCUCAGCUUGAAUAGUGUGUGAAGUUAUGAAAACAGUCGAACAAUAUGAUGUAGUUAGAAAGAUGAAAGUAUGAUCUUUUAAAUAAAAAAACAAAACAAAAUAAAACUUCACCAUGUAGCCAUAGUACCAGAAGAUUAUAGAAAUAAUUUGUAGAUGUUGACAGAUGGGGAAAGUGCUAUUAAAUGGUGAGGAGUAAAAUACUGGAAUUGCUUACUAAGAACGUGUGUGGGACCUCUUUCAGUUCAUGCUAGACUGGGUCAGCAGUUUGGUUAUUGUUUAGAGAUGACUUACUUUCCUUUCCUGCUAGAGUGCAGACUUGUGGAUCUCAAGACCUCUUCUAGCCCUACUUUACUAUGAUUUUUUCUUAUUCAGAACUCUAAAUAUGCUUCUGUUUGGUUAAAUAUAAAUUUAAACUCUGUUUGGUUAAAACUACUGACAGAUCUUUUGUGAUGAGAACAGUAUGUUCAAUAACUUAGAACACAGAAUGACUUGCGUGGGAUUACUGCAAGUAUGUAGCCACUGCAGUCAGCAUUUACGUAGGAAAAUAACUUACCAAAAACUCCUUAGAGAUUUGGUAAGAAGUUAAUGACUAUUUAAUUUUAUCCAUAGCAUAGGUAAUAGAAAAAAAAUAUUUGAUUCAGAUUUAACAUUUUCCCUCUGUUAUCAUUGUCAUGCAAAGGAGUAGCAUGAAAAUCUGGUAAAAUUUAUAUAUUGCAGACACAAUUCCCACCUGAAUUCAGGGUGGAAAAGUGUACAGAAAGGUAUAGAACUUAAAGUUACCAAGCAGUUUUGCUACUAUGUUGUGCAUAAUUUGUUAAGUUUUUAAUGUCUGCUAUGGCAGACCUAAAUAAGAAAAUGAAAGUUUUGGGAGUAUAUUAAUAUAUUGCAGUAACAAGCUGGAGAUAAAUCAUUUAGUAUUGGGCUAUAUCUAUUAAACAUUAUUUUUCUCUUGAUAUCCCAACUGAUUUGUAGUGUGCUGACUUCAACCAAUCAAUCAAAAAAACUGGUUGCCAAAAUUGCCAAAGGAGGAAAAUUAAAAAAAAAUAAAAGCCUUUUUGAAGGUUCUGAUGAUAUUCUGAGAGUAUAAGUUAAAAUUUCAAACACAUCUGCCACUCCUGAAAUAAGUUGAGGAACUGCAUUUUCUGUCAAUCUAGAAGUUUUUUACAGGAGAUAAUGUGAUGUCAGUAUUUAUAUAAAGUAUUUAUUUCUACAAGAAAAACUUGCUUGUUAUUAGGCAGUUUUCACAUUAAUGACUGUGACUGCUUGCAUAUUUGGAUAUUAUAUUACUCUGCUAUUUGGACUUGUAAAUAAUGUCUGUCUCUACAGAGAUAAAGAAAAAGAAAACUCCCUUUGAAGGUGAUUUCUUGUUAACUAGUAUUUUUCACAAUGCUCUCUCCAAAUGAAUUCAGUCAGUUCAUACCACUUCACCCUGAGGCUGCCAAGUCCAUCUGGAGAUAUCCACGUUUUAGGGGAAGUUCUGAUGUAUAAAUCAAUAAGAACUUGGUCCAGUUCAUUUAUCUUCUUCCCCUUGAGUCAUCAGCUUUAGGAAGAAAAAGAAAACAAUAACAAAACAAAAACAUUCCUUUGCAAUCUUCAGAAGCAGUAUGAUGUCCAAAUUAUCCUAGAAGCUUAAUAUUUGGACCACCAAUCAAUUGGCAUUUCAAUGAUAAUGUACCUUUUGUGAACACUUUUUGCAAAUGAGAUUAAGGACAUUUUCUUCUUCAAAACUGUAUACCUAGUAAGCCAGAGUUUAUAUUUCAGUUUUAGAAAAGGUCUGAAGCACUGAUGAAUGCAGGCCCAUGGCUGUAGCUUCCUCACCAAGUAGGUUGAUGUUAUCAGUUUAAAAAAGUAACUACACUAUAACCCUAUGCAAAAUACCUGAUGGAAUUCAUUUUCCAGUUGUGCUUUAAAUGUUUUCUUCAGAAUUGGCAGGGUCAUCAUUAUUGUAGAAAAGGAGAUAAUAUAAUGGGAUGUGAAACUUACUAGCAGUGAAUGUGUGUGAAGGAGUGGAUCCUGAUUAGCUAUUCUGUGUGUGCUGUGUAUGCAGCUCUCCAUUCUUAGUGCCCCAAUAGGUUAUGAAUGUAAUUUCCAAAGUGUAUAGAGUAAGCUGGCUAUUACCGUCGAAUCUUUGCAUACUUAUGUAAGGAGGUUUUCUCUAUGGAGUUUUUGUAUCAGAAAUAAUUGAUUUGGAAGUUUAGUUGUUUUUCAAUUUCUAUUAAAUGGCUCUGAAAACUGUAGAAAAAGCAAAAGGGAUGUAACCUAGAGAGAGGCAAGAUGCACCACCUUCUUUGUCUUUCUGUUAGCAGUGCAUCUUGCACAUUUACUGUAUUUAAGUGCAGCAUUUGACUACUAGUGUGUUUUAUCUCUUUAUUGUUUGAUUCUAUUUUAUUUUAUAGAGAAUUCUCUAUUUUAUAGAGAAAUUUGAAUUAUGGUUUUCCAGAACGAGUUCUAAUAUCUGAGUACUGUGAAAUUCUCCUUCACUUCACCAUAUCUUUAGAGGGUUGAUAAAUACUCAACUCUUCAUUUGUUGCUGUACUUUGCCUUUCCCUGUAAUACUAUCUUUGUACUUUAGAAUUUCUCCUUUUUUUUGAUUGGUUCUGGGCUUCUGAUGCUAAUUUAGGAUCUUGAUUCCAAACCUGAAAACAAUUGAUGACUCAGUCAACGUAUGUAAGAGAAUUAUUUUUCAUUCUGUUGUUACAGAAUAACCAGGCUUUUGGGGAAUGUAUGAGUACAGGCAUUUUUCAAGAGUACUGUGUGAUGCAAGUUUCUUUUAGACCCAUCAACAGCUUGCACUGUAAUGAUGAUUAUGUAGCAACUUGGUUAUUUGCACAGAUGUAGGUUUUUUUUAAAAAAAAGAAACUCUCUCCCUACAUCUCCAUGGAAAGAUGAGUUUCAUUUGCAAUACAAUUCCAGGGAAGUUGACUUAAAGCAGCUUCAAAGCAAUCUCGCCUUAGCUUCCUUCAGGGGAAUAAUCCCGUUCAGAACUGUCGUUAGGUAUCCACCUAAGACCAAUUCAUCACCUAACAGAAUUUUUGCCUAAACUGAAAAGCAGCAGAGUUAAUUACUGAAUAGCUUUGCUAUUAUACAAGAUAGCUAUUAGUUUUGACCACUUGCUGUAAAGCUUUUAGAAACAUUGCAUUCAGACUUUUGGUGAUGACACUUUGAAUUUUGGUGUUUUAUAAAUUAUUAAAAUCAGCCAAGGAAGCUUGUAGGAAAAAAAAAACACCACUACCAAAAAAAAAAAAAGAACAAAAAAACCUAUAAUAUUUUUGCACAGAGGAAUGUUAUCUACCAUUUAAACAACUGUUUAAAAAAAGAUUUUCAUUUCAAGGUAAAUGCUUCUUCAGACAUUGCUGGCCAACCGUACUCAUUUUUGCUGACACCAUGGAUUAUUGCUGUAAAUGACUGCAUGUUGACUUUUACACAAACGUGCAUGCUGUGUAGAGCUCUCUUCAAAUUCUCUAUACUUUUCUAUUUCAGACUGUUUCUUUUAUCUAUGAUCAGAGUUGGGCUUUAUUUCUUACUGUAGUGUUCCAUUUAAUGCUACAAAUGUUUGUAAAAAAAAUUUCAUUUAGGUUUUCUUCAUAUAGUGACGUUCUGCUUUUAGUGUUUGCUCCAGUGAGGCUAACCUUUGGGAGGUAGCAGUUAAUAAGACUUCAGGUUUAAAUUUCUGCCUCUGGAUUUAUGCCUUGAUAGGUGGUUUUCCUUAAAAUACAUAGAGCCUUUUCAACGUGGUUAAGAUAGUUGAACACUUUGGACAGGCAGUCUCUACGGAGGAUGACUGCUCUCCUUUUGUGUGAAGUGAACAGGAAAAAGAGGAAGAAAUGUUUGGGCAGCAUCUAUGUGUAUUUCUGUAUGUACACUGUAAGCUGAUGGUGGUUGCCAUCUUUGGCCGCCUUCUUGUUCCCCCUCGAGAGUCUUUAGGUAGCACUGUGGACUUGCUUGCCAUCUUUUCUCUAUAUACAUGUGCAACUGAGGGCUUCACAUCUGUUCUUAACCUUCUUGUCAUCUUCCCUAAAUGGUUUCAGUUUGUUUUAGAUUAUUUGUUGUUUUCCUACUUACAGGAUGUUACUAAGAAACCAUGAGUAGAUUUGCUGGGAUCUUCAUGGCAGUUAAGUCUGACAAAAACCUUCUGCCCAUUCUCCUUUCUCUUCUUGCUCCUUCUGGUGCUUCCCCACCCCUGCACUCUCUAUUCAUAGCAACCUUUACAUUUCUAUUACAAAUUUCUGUGCAGAAUUGGAAGAAAUUGUUUUCCAUGUAUGGCUGAUGUACAGUGCAGUGAAAGCAUUAUACAAGUAGCUUACCAAAAGUAAAAUGGAAAUUGCAAGGAUAGAUCAGUGUUUUCUGAAUUUCUUGAUUCAACAGCCAAAAAGGGAGUCACAGACGAUCCUGUAGCUAUUGGAUGCACAAGACCCUAAGAUACAGCAUUCUCUGCUGUGUUUUUGGCUGUGUUCUUCCAGCAUGAGGGAGCGUGUGGAGAGUGAUACGUGUAACUAACACCCUGCAGGAGGAGGGAACUGCCAAGAGCUGGUGCAAAGGCGAGAAGCAGCUGCCAGCGGCCUUGUUUUUCUCCCUGUGAAAGAAAAGAUAGAAUGAGGAACCAGGGAAUAGAAAUCAUCAUCUUCUCAGCUCAGAAACACUUCAAAUGCUGGAAGGCGUCAGGGCUGGUGUUAGGACUUUCUCUUUCCUACUGUCCCCUUAGGACUCACUUUCUAGGAAAGAUGCACGAGGAAGCGAGCUCCAUAAACAGACAAUAAGAAAAGUGUGGUUUUCAAUGCAUCUGUAUUGCAGUGGUUAGUGGCACUAUUAAACUGAAGUGCUGACUUCCUCUUGAAAAUCAUCGUUGCUUUUGUGGAUCACAUUCAGAUGUUCAUUCUCCUCCUCCGAAAGGCUAAAGUAUAGAGAAAGCAAAAGAUGGUAAAAACAAUAAUUUUUAAAAAGACUGAAAGAAAAAUAGAACAGCUAAUUCCCAACAGGACGUAGACACUGACAUAAGAGAGGGCAGAUUUUGGGGACAAGUUAUAAAAGAACAUAUAAAUGAUGGGAGAAAAGACAGGAAGUGUGCCAGGGAUAUGUAACCCAAGUGCGGUAUGGUGCAGAGGCGCCUGUGGCUGGCUGCUUCACUGCUUAUCUGUGCAGUGCUGCAAGCUGCAUCUGGUGAGAGAUGAGGCAAAGGCUGCCUCAUCCAAUCUAAUGUAAAUAUAAGCAAGAAGACUUCGAGAUUGCCUUUCUGCAGUGUCAGAGUGCAAGGAGAAAGGAAAGGAGGGAACAGGAAGAAAAGAAAGUGAGGAAAGAGGAGAUUACAGAGGUUCUGAUACCUAAGGAGGCUGAGUACUUAGUGUAAGAAACAACCAAAGGACACAUGCCUCCUACACACUGGCCCAGAACAGCUUGCAUCCCCCUGUGUUAAGAUUCUGAAGUUGUCCACGUGUGAAAGACUUUGCAGUAAAUUUAAGAAGUGCAAUGGGAAUGGUAAAUAAUUAGCCUGGAAUUGCUUGCAGUGGUACUGCUCUUCUGUUGUGUGUGGUAUGAACAACGCUUGCUAUUUCCAGCUGAACAUCACUUUCAUUGAUGACAAAAAGUAAGCGUCUGAUCUUUUUAAAGUUCUGGUAAUACUGAGAGUUACUAAGGGUCAUUUACCCUGUCUCCUACAGAGAGUAGAAUCAAGAUAUGCAAAAAUAAAUGGUUUGUUAAAGUUCAGAGCAGAACUGCCACAGAAAAUAUUUCAUUGGUCUCAGCUACAGAAGUUUAGGUACUAGCUGAGGCAACAGCAGAGAUAUUCAUCUAGGCAGUCCUUCUCUGACCUGAUAAUGAAGUAUCCCUGGUAAGUCCUCCUCUUACUUCACAAAUUCAGUAUUCGACCUAGCACUGCCACUUUCUUCUUGGAUGAGUGCUACAGUGGAAUGAAGUCUGGUCCAAUCUCAGCACCACAGUGAGCUGAAAUUCUUGAGGCAGAAUGAAGUAAAUCAGCAAGCUUGUUUUGGUGCUGAAUUAAAAUAAUUGCUGCAUAAAGUUUGGACUAGCAUGCAUUUUAAUAUUUAAUUCAGAAAUCCUUAUUUUAGAGUUUCUCUAACCUUGUAGCAUGAUUAAAAGACAAAAAUCAGGUGCUGGCCUUCUA
Gallus gallus (chicken) is the source of this 56575-nucleotide long non-coding RNA. The record is from Ensembl. NCBI's taxonomy places the organism in Eukaryota, Metazoa, Chordata, Aves, Galliformes, Phasianidae.